GCUCAAUGAGAACACAAUGAGAGUCAUCAUUCUCUCUGACACUGCUGUUCAAGACGACCGGACCUGUCCACCGCGCAUGCCCAUUACCGGUGUAUGAACAUUGCAUCCUUUAAUUUACCCUGUAUAUGAACAUUCCAUUCUUCAAAUGUGUUGUACUAUCAUUCUGGUGGCUAUGGAGAUGUGUUGUACUGUAGUUUUGGUAUCCAUUGAUGAUGUCUUGCUCCGAUUACACUUGAAUCUGUAGUUUUGGUAUCUAUUGAUGAUGUCUUGCUCCGAUUACACUUGAAUAUUUAUUUAUUUAUUAUUUUUUAUCCUGAUUGAAUACAUAUGAUAAGCCUGGCUUUCUACUAACUUCACCAUUAUAUGCAUGGGCACAUUGUUGAAACCGGCACCCUCGCGCCAAGGCGCGCUGCUUGCGCCAAGGCGCGCUACUGAUCUAGUAUAUAGGAUAUGCACGUGUGGAUGAGAGUUAAGGCUGAGUGACGAUUCCGCUCCCACCAACGGCUCUGUCCGCCUGCCUCCGAGGAAUUGAAUGAGGAAAUGGCACAUGAUCGCUGGCCUUUUAUACCUGUCGAUCUCCACUUGUUUUUCUCUGGCGUCGUAUACCUCCCUGUCUGGAGGGUUUGUCUGACAUUGAUAGUUUUGCUGGCUUAAUCAAACUCAAUUUUGCUGAGAGAAGUAGUUAACAUAUAAACAUUGUUUUUUUGAACUGGGAACUUAAUUCCCGGACCAGACAUAGACUUGUAGUCCCAUGUGUUUGGCAGUCUUAUUAUGAUAAACUUCUAUUCCCAUUCAGAAACAUUGUUUUCUGAACUGGGAGAAAGUCAAAAAUCUGCCAUUUAUUAUUAUGUGUCUGAAUGUAACCAACAAACGAGAGAGGAAGAACAUAUUAUUACCAAACGUGUCAAUUGAAUGAGGAUGUGUACUGUUUCAUGACUUAGUAUUUUGUAAAUGUUGAUUUUAUGAGAAAAACAUGAUCUAUUAUAUUUAGAGAGGAGAUUUGAGGGAAGAGCUCCAUAAAACUUUAGAACUCUCCAGUCUCCACAGCCAUAUCCUGUUCAACAUAUAUUAUGCAUCUAAGGUCAAUUAGUCUACUUGAUAACCACUUAUGUUGAAGUAGUACAAAUACCUACUGUACAUUUUUUAGCCUGAGGUCUUAUCAUGAAAUUUGUGCUGGGCUAAAGCAACGUCAGGCAAUGACGAUGCAACAAAAUGUCUAGUCAAAUGAUUGAAAGUAGCAGUGAUGUUCAAACAAUAUCAAUCCCCUUGUUCCAGCGAACGUAAAAUAUAAUUAAUCUGCAACUGAUACUAGCGACUGGACAGUGAAGUCGCUCAACCAUGCGACUCAAAAAAUUUGGGAAGAUAUUAUUCAAACUGAAACCUAAGUUCUACUACUUGUCUUUUGUGGAAUUAUGGGUUUUGAAAUUCUAAUCUUCAUUUUACAAUUCUUGGUCAAGUCUUUGAAGCUUUUCUGAAGGCGGAUUGCCUAAGUUUUUCUUUUGACAUAUAAUUAUCAACCUGACAAAGUUAUACAAAAAUUCCUGUAGGAUCAUUAGGAUAACAUCUAUCAUCACUUUGCUAAGUGAGCUACAAGCAUGCUUAGAUUUCUUGCUGCAGCUAAAUGAUCGUUCAGUUUUCUGAUAUUAUUUUAACAAUUUUACAAUAUCUCUGAAGAUUGAUUAAAUGAAUCUGCACUCUUGAAGACAAUGUUCGAAGAAUUUUAAGUUUUUAGCAGAAGAUCUGUCUGAUGGCCGUUGUGUACCUUUUACUAUUCCUAGUUAUCUUGUAUUUCAGUGAUCUUAGUAUUUUGCUGUUGAUAAAGGACAAACAAUUGACUCUUUCUCUACAAUGUCAGUUUCAACAGUAAAGACCCUUCGUAUCAAUUCGUUGAUUCUUGCUGGAAGAAGCCCUUUCUUUCUAAAGGUAAUUUUCAUAACUAUGUGAAAUUUAUUUAUUUGUGUAGUCAGUUCAUGUUCCUAACAAGCUUCAUGUUUCUUAGCUUUUCACAAAUGGCAUGAAAGAAUCUCAUGAGACACUUCCAAGAAUUAGGAUUGCUGAUUCAGGUAAUAUUAUACUCUAAAUAUAACAUUCUUCCUCUUAUAUUUUAUUCUAAUUGCUAUUGUGGUUGUGUUAGUACUUAUUCUUUUAAUAAAAACAUGAUUAUGUAUGGUAAAUGAAAUAUUAUGUUUUGUAGUUUCUGCCACUUUUUCGGCAAGUUAUGGAGACUUCGCAUGAACUUUCCUGACUGCAUGUUUGUACUAACUUAAAAUUACCUAAGACCUUUUCUUUAUUCAGGUUAAUAGUUAAUUGUACUGUAUUCAAUUUCGUUUGAUAAUUCAAACUCAUUGCAUGGACCGCGAACAAUUCUAGCGGUAGAGGUAACCAGCACUAUAUACUGUGCACUACCUGAAUAUCAGCAAUGUACAUAUCUGUUUCAAUCAUCGAUGUUGGCAAUUUGUGGAUUGAUUAACUCUCUCUUAAGCAGGGAUCAACUUUUACAACUCUCUUUGUAAUAUAAAAGUAUGAAGUUCUUUGCAAUGUCAAACUUAGUUGGAACUGAUUGUAUUGAAUGGUUGAGAUUGGCAACUCCUAUAUAUUCUAUGGUAUAAUUUCCCAUGAUCGUAAAAGGUCAAUCUCCCAUGGAGCUUUUUUAAUACUGCAAGUCAAGGGUCAACUUAAACAGNNNNNNNNNNNNNNNNNNNNNNNNNNNNNNNNNNNNNNNNNNNNNNNNNNNNNNNNNNNNNNNNNNNNNNNNNNNNNNNNNNNNNNNNNNNNNNNNNNNNNNNNNNNNNNNNNNNNNNNNNNNNNNNNNNNNNNNNNNNNNNNNNNNNNNNNNNNNNNNNNNNNNNNNNNNNNNNNNNNNNNNNNNNNNNNNNNNNNNNNNNNNNGUUCUCUUAAUCCUUAUGUUUUUCUUUUUUCAAGUUUUCAUCCUACUUGUAACAGAGGAGAAUGCCCUUGUGGAGCUUUUAAGAUUCAUGUACAGUUUAAAGUUGACAACAAUUGAACCCACUCUUCUGCUCGACAUGAGGUUCUUGCUUGCAUGAGGCACUGCAGUCAGUUGCUCACAAGCCUGCCUAUGACCACAGAAUCUGCAUUGCUAUGCCUAGACCAUCCAUGCUCCUCUUUAAUGGCUGCUGAAAUUCAGAGUGUAGUGCGUGUAGCCAAGGAAUUCCUUGCUGAGAAAUACAAGGAUUUUCAUAAGUAAGUGAUACCCAUUUGAUGGACGAACAAUGUUUUUUCUUCAUUUCCACAAAAAUGUAGACAUUUAUGUCAUCAUAUCGUGUAUGUAGUGUACUCAUGGCAUGGUUUGCCUCAUUUCAGGUUCGAAGCUGAAGUGAUGAACAUGUCUCUUGUUGGGAUCGAGGCCAUCUUUUCGAGUACUGACCUGGUGGUACUAUCUGAAGAUGAGGCAUAUGACUUCUUGCUCACGUGGGCCCGUCAAAGAUACCCAGAAUUGGAGGAAAGACGGAAGAUCUGGAGUUGUCGUUUACUUCCGCUGGUACGCUUCAGUCAUUUGACGGGUAUGGCACUUCAGAAUAUCCUAGCGGGCACUGAUGAUGAUAUAGACCAUGAGCAAGUAGCUCAACGUAUUGCUGAGGUACUUCUACACAAAGCUUACCCAACACAGCUGGAAGCUACUCUUGCAGCAGAGGUAGCAACCCAUCACCAAUUUGCUGAGCGAGCUUACGAGUUGAAGACUGUCAAAGUUGUUGCGUUCGAUCGACCCUGCCCACAGGUUACAGUUUACUUGGAUCUAAAGCGUGACGAGUGCUCCCAACUCUUCUCAUCAGCAAGUAUAGCCUCAGACUGGUUCGGUCUUGCAGGGCAGAAAUUCUGUCUCCUGCCAAACUGUAUAUUGGAUGAGCAGAGUAACUUCUACACCUUUGGCCUCUGGAUAGCGAUUAUUGGGGAGCCGACUGACUCUGUCAGUUUGACAGUAGAUAUUCAGAUUGCUGUAAGGACAAAGCCGUUAGGAAGAUUUGUGACCAAGUUAGACUACAGACACAUCUUCGCCGCUGGUGAUUGGACGACAGGAUGCAAUGAUCUUUUUGGUGUUCCAUGGUCAACGUUCAUUGCUGAUGAGGACACUCUCUUCAUCGAAGAUGUGCUACACCUGGAAGCUGAUUUGACUCUUGUGGAGCAUUCUGAAUUGCACAUCUGAUGAUAUCUCUGAUUUUCUAGGUGUAUGUGUGCUGGAAACCCUUUGGUUCCUGAAUCAUGGCGUUGUGGAUCUCUGCUUCAGGUGAGCUGCGUGCAGCUGUGGCCAGGAACUCUGAUCCCUCCCAGGGCAUGGCAUUGAACAGACUGGCUGAAUCGUGUGUUGUUGUUGAUCGGCUGUUAGUAACAUACAGUAUAUGUGUGUGUUUGUGUGCUUGACUUUGUAUGUUGUAUGUUGUUGUAUCAUACAGUUGAUGUGGAUAAACUUUGUCUGUGGUGGUCGUUGUCUUGUAGGGGAUUUGUUGGAUCCAUGCUGGCUGUUGUAAGUGUGACAAAUUUCAAUGGGAUCUCAAUUAUAAACUUAUACUUUCAGAUAUUGUUGUUGGUUUGUUGCGAUGUUCAAUUGGUUCUUAAUGCAUAUUGCGGUCUCGUUUUGUUAUUGUGGGCCUGUGUGGGAAUGUGCUUGUCCAGCUCGAAGCCUUUGAGCAUGACGAGCUUCUGGCCAUUCAUGGUGGAAGCGAGGUCGACGUUCAGCAUCCGUGGGCUCCAAAAACUUGAGCGUUGAACAUCUGGCUAAUUGUAGUGUUUUUCUUUUCAAAAUAUGUUAGUGUCCAUACCUUUUGGCUCUACCGACUCGACUUCUUUACACCCAUUCACUAAGAAGUUGAAGCACCAAGACUCAUCUAUACGUACAUCAAAUUUCGAUCCGAAAUUCUGGGAGAAUAUACUGCAGGACCAUAUCCCACAAUCGACUGGCUUAGCUUUUUUUUUUCUAGAUUUGUUCAGCACUUUUUAUGGAUGCUUCUGUGUACUAGUAACACAGUAAGACGUAGAACUCUUCUCCCAUUCUAUGAAGAGCUCAAGGAAACGAGCACAAUGCAACGUGCGCAACUCUAUCAUCCGAUAACGAAAUGAUGACCCAGACCAAAUGUUCUACGUACUUGGCUUGCUCAAUCAUGGGCGCAAGUAGGCUACCAAUGACGUGAUGUGCAUCUUGUGUGACCGCUGUCAAUGAUUAAGAUUGGCAACCACGUCAAGCCCAUCAGCUAGGGCACCACCCCGGUCUAGAUCGACAGAAAGUUAUGCCGGGUUGGUGCGUAUGACAAAUUCCUCUUGUUGCACAUAGGAGCACCACUUGUCUACCGCAUGUCUCAUGGCCAAACAUUCUUUUUCAUAUGUGGAGGGAGCCUCGCUGCGAGCAAAUAUAGUGCCUUGCUGAGAUACGCCAUUGGAUGCCCUUUUUUCAAGCUACCGUAGUGUUUAACGAAUCUGCGGUAAUAACCUGUCAAGUCGAAGAAGCCUCGCAAGUUCUUGAGUGUUGUCGGUUGAGCCCAACUGCAAUAGCUUGGAUCUUGUUCGCAUCUAUAGCACCAGUACAAUUGAUGCCAAUAAUGUGGCCCAUGGCGACCAGUGGGCGCGGUGCAGCAGCAGCGAGGCGUGGCGGCCGCGGCGAGCAGCAAUGGAUCUGGACGAAUUGGUCCCGCGGCAGGAGGUUGAUGAGCACCAGAUUUUUUUUUCCUUUUUUCUUUCAAUGACAGGUGGACCCCACAGGGCCGCACAUGAUGAUAACGUUAGCCAACGUCGCUGUUAAUUAGGCGGUGCCACGUCAGCCUGACUAGUGGGCCACGUCUGUCAUAAACAUGCUUAAUCGAGUCAAAUCCGCCGAUAAGUGUUUUUUUGCAACAAAAAAAAACGCAAGACGUGGUGUUUUCUGUCGAAAAAAUGUAUCCUAGUGCUUUUCGCAAACCUAGGCUUUAAAGUGGUGGUUUCGUGCAAUUUACUCGGCCCAUGUACUCUAGCUCUUGUUGGACGAAUGAGCACUUGUUCUUCUUCAGGAGUAACUAGUGCUACUCAAGAAGUUCAAACACCCCGUGCAAGGGCAUCAGGUGAGCUUCUUCCAUGUGGUUGUACUAAGAUAUCGUCGAUGAAUACGAGUACAUAGCGCCACAAUAUUGGCUUGAAGAUUUGGUUCAUGAUGCUUUCGAAGGGUCUAGCGCGUUGAUGAUGCCGGAUGACAUUCCAAGGAAUUCAUACAUGGUUUCAUGAGUUUGGAACACCGUCUUGUACUGGUCCUCGACUGCAACACAAAUCUGAUGGUCUGCCUUGGGCCCUUAGGGCAUCUUCAGCCGUUGGCCCUCCAGGAGGGGCAAAAAAUCGCCCCCUGGGGGCGCACCGGCGCUAAACCGCGCACCGGGGGCGUGAUGUCCCCCAGUCGCAGCGCCCACGGUUAGUCAAAAAAGUCAAAUACGGCGCAAAAACGACUUAAAUUUAACGCAAACAUCGGCGAGUUCGUUCAAACUUAAACAUAUUUUACAAAAAAAAAAACUACCGCGGACUACCCCCGCCGUCUCCCUCGCCGUCCGCCUCGCCGCCCGCCCACGUGGUUCUACAUGCCGAGGAGGCUGUAGAACCGCGUGUAGUCACCACCGUCGUCGUCAUCGUCGUCGUCGUCAUCGCCGCCCCCGCCUACGCCUCCGCCGUCCCUGCUGCAUCCCUCCCCCGGUUGGCGCGGCGGGUUGGACGGUCCGGGGGCGUCGUCGUCGUCGUCGUCGUCGCUGUCGAGGACCACGACGCCGUGCUCGUCCUCGCGCCCACGCUUGCAGGCGGCGAUCUCCUCCAGGGCCCGGCGCUGCCGGACCAUCUCGUCGCGGAGGUAGUCGUCCCGCGCCCACCGCAUGGCGUCCUCGUCGGAGAAGCCGCGCCGGGCUAUCUCCUCGUACUCCGCGGGGAAGCCGGGCUCCGGCUUGGGCUCGACGAGGACGAAGCGGUCGGUGGGUGGAGAGGCGUUGGCGCCGAAGCUGCGGGUGCACGCGCUGACCGGCGUGCCCUGGGGUUCCGGCUUGACGGGGCGGAGGCAGGGCGAGCCGCCGGACGAGGAGGAGGACCCCCCGGUCUCCAUGCGCCUCGGGGUCCAGGAGCUUCCCCGGCGGCGUGAGAAGGAAGGGGGAGCGGGUUACUCGAGGCGCGGCGUGUUGCCGCCCUCGAUGUACUCGAGGACGGCCUCCAACGUGCGCCCGGGCACGCCCCACCACCGACGCCGGCCGGCGGCGUUGAGCCUGCCGGAGGGCACGACGCCGUUGGUGGCCUCGAGCUGCUGGGCGUGACGGCGGCGGAAGUAAGGGUCCCAGAGUGGGCUGUCGGGGACGUACCGUGGCCCCUCCCUCGCCGCACGCGGCAGGUUCGAGCGGAUGCGUGCGAUCUCCGCACGCCGCGCCGCGCCGGUGGGUACCGGGGGCACCGGCACGCUGCCCGCGCUGAUCCUCCACGCCCCGGGCACCCGCAUGUCCGGCGGGACCGGGUACUCGGCCUCGUAAAGGAGGCGAGCCUCGUCUUCAUGAAGAUGGCGGCGGCCGAAGCCGUUCGCCGCCGCGCCGUCGCCUGGGAAGCGCUCGGCCAUGGGUGUGAACUGGAGACGGCGAAAGAAAGGAGAGGAGAGGGAGGAACGACGACGGCGGGAGAGUGUGAGUCGCCGAGUGCGCCGGGGCGCGUCAUAUAUAGGCCGAGGCACGCGUGCCACCGUGUGUACGCGUGGCGGGCGAGGGAGGGCGAGGGACGCGCGUCGUCCGGUCUUCACUGCGCCGCCCGUGAGGCAUCAAUGGUGCAGGCUGACCGGCGCGGCAGCGCGCGGCAGCUUUGGCAUUGAUUCGCCGCGGGAAACGAGGCAAUGAGGACGACGAAGGGCCGAGAAGAGAGCCGUGUCGCUGACGCGGUGGGCCCGCGGCUUUUUCGCGCCAAAACAGUUCGCCCGGCGCCCCCGGGCGCCCCCCAGCGCGCCGGGUUCGGGCUGGGUCCGCCGGCGCUGUUUUCGGCCCAAGCCGGCGGAAAUCGGGCUCCUGGGGGCACGUCUGGGCCGUUUUUUCGGCGCCGGCGCGAAAAAAACGCCUGGGGAGGCCUUCCUGGGGGCGCGGCUGGAGAUGCCCUUAGUUCACAACUUCAUAUAGGCACAUGUCCAGGGUUCCCCUAAAAAAAAGCAGAUAGGUCAGCCUUUGCUCAAAAAGAAAAAAAGAUAGAUCAGCCGUCAGCACUCCUCAAUCAACAAUAAAAAGCAGUAGUUGCAAUCGGGAACCUCUAUCUCCAGUAGUUGAAACAUGAGACCUUUUCGUCAUAUCACCAUGAGACUCCUGAUAGCUCAGAACAGUAGUUGCAAAAUGUUUGCAACAGAUGCUUAAUUAGACCCUAGAGAUUCAGUUACUGGGGGAAUUCAAAAAUAAGUAGCAACUGGUUUCAUUUUCUUAUAGAUUCCCUACAUUACGACAUCCCCAUGUUCAAUAAUUGGCCACAAGCCCAUAAAUUCAUGUUUGAUAUGGGGAAAAAAAUUGCAUCGGGCUAGGUAUACCUACUGGUUGAGCUUACUGCCCUUCCAAAGAAUUUCCCGCUUGCAUGAGCUCGAUACCGUGCCGCUGCUGCCUCCCACACAGGCCGCGCCGGCACCAAGCAGUGUUUUUCUCAUUCUGCAAUGUGCCAGGGCAUCCGACCGCUCUGGAGAGGAGAACUCUGUGUUUGUGAGACGGCAGCGGGUGGACUGGGCAUGGGCGAAGUUUUUUUUUUUUUUUUGAGGGGUAAAGCAAAGUUUAUUGAUAAAAAGUCACAUGAGUAGGCAUACAAAUUGGGUCAUGUGGAUGGCCAAGCCAAAGACUGGGCGUGGGCGAUGGCUAGGUUGCUGGUUGGGGGAUGGGGCGCAGCUGGACUGCAUGUAGGCCGUGUUCUACUUUACUUUUGUUGAGGGCUAGGCCGUGUUCCACUUAAAUGCAAGCUCAUGUAUAAAAACGAAUCAUUUUCUGUUCAAACCAGAUCGACGAAUCAUGUUUUGUGCCUAUCAUCCAAAACAAAUCGACUAAUGGGAGGGACGAAUAGAUAGGUAUUUCGGGCGCACGUCGGCUACCUGGGUCGGCCGACCAUAUACGGUGGCGCCGCCCCUGGUGUUAGGGUUUAGCAUAAGGUUUAAACAAUGUAAUAGAGAGAAUCCAUAAGUUAUGUGCCGUGGCCCGUGGGUCACUAGGAUGCUGUGUAUAUGUAAGAGUUACUCCCUCAGGACCGGUAUAUAGGGCGGGAGGAAACAUUCCCGGUAACCAAGCCGUGCACACCAUGGCAAUACACCUAUUUAAUGACACCCAAAAUCUCUUACUUGUUUAUUAAUGCGCUAAUAUGUGCGUGUGUGGAUGAGAGUUAAGGCUGCGCGACAAAUCUGUUCCCGGGAACGGCUUUCUGUGCCUGCUUCAGCGGACUUGGACGAGGACAUGACUUGGAGGAAUGACACAUGAUCACUGGCCUUCUACGAUUUUUUUUCUCUGGCCCAUAAGAGAGGGUCUCUGAUAUUGACAGCUGUGCAUGCUCAUUUAAUCGAACUCAAUUUUGUAGAGAAAAAGUAGUUAACCGAUGAGCAUUAGUUUUGACCCGGAGAUUGUACAUUAUCCACAUGCCAAAUCUGCCAAUUAUUAUGUUUCUGAAUGUAUCCCAGAAACUGAAGAACAUAUUAUUACUAUAUAUGUUAGUGCUUGACUAUGGAUUUGUAUUUGGAACGCUGGAAAAAUUAUUUCAUGAUUUCAUAAUUCUAUUUCAUAUGUUAGUAAUAUGAUCCUUUAUAUUUGGAGAGGAGAUGUGGAGGGAAGAACUACAUAAAACUUUAUAACUCUGCAGUCUCCACUGCCAUGUUGCCUCACUUGCCUGUUCAAGCAUGUAAUAUGUCAAUUAGGCUGCUUGACAACCUCUUAUGUUUAAGUAUUACAGAUUCACGUUGUAUAGAUUGUAAGUUUUCACCUGAGGUCUUAUCGUGGAAAUGUACGACACAAAUGACAAUGAAAUUUGGGGUCGACUAAAUCAACAUCAAACUUAUUCAGAGAAGACAACAAAUGUCUUCCAGUAUCCAUACAUAUGACAAUGAUGCAACAAAUAUCUAGUCCAACAUUUUGAUGUGGCAGUGCUGUUAACUUCUUUUUUUCAAUAUUUAUUGUUCCUGCAAACGUAAAAUAAGAUCAAUCCACUGCAAUUGAGACUAGCGACUGGACAGUGGAAGUGCUCAACGAUGCAAUUCAGAAAUUUUGGAAAGAAGUUACUCGACCUGAAACCUGAAGUUCUACUACUUCGUUGUCCUUACUGGAAUCGCAGGUUCUGAAAUUCUUGGUCAAGUUUCUGAAUCCUUUCAAAAGGCAUUGUAUAAGUUUGGGUAUUGAGUAUUGACAAAUAAUUAUCUGAUAAAGUUAUACGAAAUUCUUGUUGGGUCAUUGGGAUAACAUCUAUGAUCACUUUGCUCAGUGAACUACAGGCAUGCUUGCUGGCUGCAGUAAAUGGCCGUUCAAUCUUUGUGAUAAUUUAACCAUUUUAUCAUACAUCUGAAGACUGACUAAACGAAUCUGCACCAUUGAACAGAAUGUUCCAAGCAUUUUAACAGAAGAAAAUCUAUCUAAUGGUUGCUCUGUACAUUUUACUUUUCCUAGUUGUCUUGUUUCUCAUUGAUCUUGUUUUUUUGCAGCUGAUGAAGGACAGAGUAUUGACUCUUCCUCAACCAUGGCAGGCGAACCAAUUUCAGCAGUAAAGGCCCUUCAUAUAAAUUCGGUGAUUCUUGCCGCAAGAAGUCCUUUCUUUCAAAAGGUAAUUUUCAUAGCCAUGUGAAAUGUAUUUGUUAUGUAGUCAGUUCAAGUUUUUAAUAAGCUUCAGUUUCUUAGCUUUUCACAAAUGGCAUGAAAGAAUCUGAUGAGUCACAUCCAAGAAUUAGGAUUGCUGAUUCAGGUAAUAUUAUAGCUUAAUUGUAACCUUCUUCCUCUUACUUUUUAUUCUAAUUCUCUAUUGUGGUUGUGUUACCGUUUAUAUUCUGUAUAUAGAACAUUGAUUAUUUGUGGUAAAUAAAUAUUAUGUUUUGUAGUUUCUACCACUUAUAGGACUAGUUACGCAGACUUCACACACACGUUUCUAAGUGCAUGUUCGCACUUUAUUAAAAUUACUGAAGAACUUUCCUUAUUGAGGUUAACAAUUAAUUGUAUGUUAACUAAUUUCAUUUGAUAAUUCAAACUCGUAGUGCGGAUUACGAAGCGAUGGCGGUAGGUAACCAGUACUAUAGGGCUAUCAUAUAGAGUAUCCACCAGUGCGUGUCGUCUCUGUAGUCAGCGAUGCGGGCAAUUCAUGGAUUAAUUAACUCUCUCAAGUAUCUUUGUAAUCAAUAUGCAAUUAUGAGAUGCUUUGCAAGGUGAAACUUAAUUUAUGAGCCAUUGGAUCUGAUUGUCGAAUGGUUAAGAUCGUUUGGAUUCCGCCAACUCAUGCGUUUUCUAUUAUUGUAUAGAUAGAACUUUUCCAUGAUUGGAAAAGGUUAAUCCAAGGUGGAGCUUUUCUUACUUCUUUUUUGCACUGUUCUCUUAAUCCUUGUGCCUUUACUGUUUUCCUUCUACUUGGAACAGAAGAAAAUUCCCUUAUGGAGCUUCUAAGAUUCAUGUACAUUGGAAAGCUGACAACAAUUGAGCCCACUCUUCUGCUCGACAUCUUAAUGGCUGCUGACAAAUUUGAGGUUCCUGCUUGCAUGAGGUACUGCAGUCAGUUACUCAUAAGCCGGCCUAUGACCACAGAAUCUGCACUGCUAUACCUAGGCCAUCCAUGCUCCAUUUUAAUGGCUGCUGAAGUUCAGAGUUUAGUACGUGCAGGGAAGGGAUUCCUUGCCAAUAAAUACAAGGAUUUUGAUAAGUAAGUGACCACUAUUUGAUGGAGCAAUGAUUUUUUCUUUUCGUUUCGGAGAAAAUGUUGACAUUGAUGUCACUAAUUAUAUCGUUUAUAUGUCACUCAUAGCAUUAUUUAUCUCAUUUCAGGUUCCAAGAUGAACUGAUGAACAUCUCUCUUGUUGGAAUCGAAGCCAUCUUUUCGAGCAGUGACCUACACGUGCUAUGUGAAGAUGUGGUUUAUUACUUCUUGCUCAAGUGGGCCCGUGUGCGAUACUAUUAUUCGGAGGAGGAAAGACGCAAGGUCUUGAGUUACCGCUUACUUCCACUGGUACGAUUCAGUAAUAUGAGCUGUGAUGCACUGCAGAAGGUCCUAACAUGUGAAGAUGUUGAUAUAGACCAUCAGUACUUAACUAAGCAUAUUGCUGAGGUACUUACUUCUACACAAAGCAUACCCAAACCAGAUGGAAGGUGCUCUUGCAGCAAACGUGACAACAUGUCGGCAAUUUGCUGAGCGAGCUUAUGACUUCAAACUUGUGAGAGUGGUUGCGUUUAAUCAACCCUGCCCACAGGUUACAGUUUACAUCAUUACAUGGAUCUAAAGCGUGACGAGUGUUCCCGACUCUUCCCAUCAGGAGGUAUAUGCUCGCAAAUGUUCCAUCUCGCAGGGCACAAAUUCUAUCUCUUGGCAAACUGCAAAAUGGUUGAGCAGGCAACGUCGUACAGCUUUGCCCUAUCAUUACAUAUUUUUGAUGAGCCGGCAGGCUCAAUAUGUUUAGAUAUUGAGUUUGCUGCAAGGACAAAGCCGUUAGGAAAAUUUGUGAGCAAGUACGGAUAUAAGAACACCAUGACUGGUGAUUGUUCGCAGGGAUGCGGUGAUCUUUUUGGAAUGCCAUGGUCGACGUUCAUUGCUGAUGACAGCCUCUUCAUCGACGGUGUGCUGCAUCUGAGAGCCGACUUGACUCUGGUGGAGCAGCCUGAAUUACAGACCUGAUCUGAUAUCUCACGCAGCUGAGUUAACUGGGUCGUGUCUUGUGUGCAGUAUCAGACGCUUCAGUCGUGGAUUUCAGUUUCAUCCCUGAAGGGCUAUGAACAGAGUAGCUGAUGUACGUGGGCCGGCCGCUGCUACUGCAUGUUACUUAGUAAUAUAUGUGUGCGUUUAUGUGUUGCCUUUGUAUGUCGUUGUUGCAUGUUGUAUCAUACAGUUUAUGUGGAGAAUCUUUCUCUGUGUUGGUCGUUAUCUUGUAAGUGGUCUGUUGGAUCCAUGAUGCAGUUGUAAGUGUCACAAAGUUCAAUGGGAUUUCAGUUAUAAUUUUGGAUAUUGUUGCUUGGCUGGGCAUAUGGGCAGUGUUGGCUUUUGGGUGCAGGCUUGGUGCGGUCUUGUAUAGCUAUGUUUUUGCUUCUGCUGGAAUGUUUGGUGCCUGAAUGUGAAUGGUGUAAUUAGAUUGCACUUUUUCAGCUGGAAGCAUUGAAGCGCGAUGAGCUUCCUGGCCUAUCGUUGUGGAAGCGAGGUCGACGUCCAGUGCUAGAUGUCGCGCAAUAUAUAGCUGGCUCCAGAAAACUUGAGAGAGUUGAAAACUGGCUUCAUCUGGCUUAUUAUCCCAUAGUUCCUUAAUACAUAGUUGGUUUUCCAAAAAUCAAGUUUCUUAAGCUUUGACAACAUUUAUAGAGAAACCCAUUGUAAAAAAAUAGAAACAUUUUUCUAAACUAGAACACUACAUUUAUACCAUAUAAAAUUAUAUUUUGUAAUGAAUCUAAUGAUAAUGAUUUGGCAUUCUAGAAAUUGAUAAUUUUUCUAUGAAGUUAGUGAAAGUAUACAAAUUUUGACUAUAGAAAAUCUAAUGUUCACUAUACUUUGAUUCUUUGGAACGAAGUGAGUAGAGUUUCCUUACAACAGUGUCCAUAUAUACUACUCUACGUCCAUCCACUAAAAAUGAAUGAAACUGAAGAACCAAGACUCGUCUACUCCCUCCGUUCCUAAAUAAAAGUCUUUUUAGAUAUUUCAAUAAGGACUACAUACAAAUGCAUAUAGACAUAUUUUCAUAGUUUAAAAAACCAAACCGGUUAUCGAACCGGCAAGGCUGUCGGUUCUCGUUUAUCGGUCAGACCGCCAGUUCACCGGUUCGAUUGUCGGCUUUCUAAGCAAUGAAUAAUAUAUACUUUAUCAAUAAAUACAUCAAUCAAUAGAUUAAAAAAAUGUGUAAUCACAGAUAGAAUAACUUGUAACUACUACUCCCUCCGUAAGGAAAUAUAAGAGCGUUUGGAUCACUACUUUAGUUAUCUAAACGCUGUUAUAUUUCUUUACCGAAGGAGUACAUGUUAAUAUCUAAUUCAUGUACGUGAUAAAAAUGUGUAGUUGUUGUCGCGCGGAGCCGGAGCGGCAGGGAGAGGCAGGGUCGAUGCACCAGGGCGCCGAGAAAGGGCGUGGUUGCGGAGGGGUUGAAUUUGUCUCUGUGGACAAAAUCAAGAGAGAAAGCUCCCAAUCGUCUGAAACCCUAUCAAAGAGGGUUUUUUUUUCUUUAACAACUCUACCCUCAGCUUGUACGCACAAAAAUGAGUGGAUCGAGGUUUUUUUUUUGUGGAAUCAACAUCGUAUAUAAUUAUCUGUAGAUCCAAUUUCCAUCUGAAAUCAUGUGGGAUUAUAGAAACAUAUCCCUCAUCGUUGAGUUUAAUUCCUUACCUUUUUACCAUUUUUUAUGAAUGCUUCCAUCCAUUGGUAGCACACAUUAAGACCCAAAAAUGGUGGUAGAACUAGGACUCCUCUCCUCCCUCUACUGUGAGGAGCUUAAGGAAACGAGCACAUUGCAACAUACAUGAAGCUAUCGUCAUAUAGUGAAAGGACGAUCCAGACCAAAUGUUGUAUGUACUUGGUUUGCUUACUCAUGGUGCAUGUUGGCUACCGUUGACAUGAGAUGCGUCUUAUGUGACUGUCGUGUAUGAUGAAAAUUGGCAACCACACCAAACACAUAGAUGAGGAGCACCAUCACAAUUUAAAUAGGAAGCCGUGCCAACAUCACCAGAACAAAUAUACGACCUUGCUCGCAAAGACUCGAAAGUAAGGGUUCACCAUAAAGGUCAACAAGGAAAAUUCCCAAACUUGUUUGAACACCAAACCAAACGACAUCGAAACAGUGUCAUGGUCAUCAGUGACACUCACGCUGGGCCUUCGGGUCUACCCGAAAAUCGGGUCGGGGUAUUCGUCUUAUCAAAAAAUCGGGUUUCCAAAACUGAUACCCAAAAUUUGCUUGCACAAUUUGAUACCCGAAAAUUUGGGUUAGGGUUCGGGUAACCUUGAAUUGCCCAAAUUUGAGCAACUAAAGAAAGGCGUCUGGCAAAGCACUACUGCUCCUUCCUCACCCUCUUGUUAAACAUCCAUAACGUACAGGAGCUGCGUAGUACCAGGAGGCUGCGUGGUAUAUUGUUAGGAGGUUUAGAUAUUAGGUAGAAGAUAUCUUAUCUCAUGUAAACUCUAUCUCUAUCUCUACCUAACUUUCUCUCCAAGAUGUAAUCUCCUGUAAUCUCCUAUAAUGAACUUGUAUGCGCUAUCAGGGAUGUGCGCCCCUGCUCUAUAAACACGUACGGCGUCCCUCCAGAAGAGGUACGACGCUUUCGCCUCCGCACAUGGUAAUCAAAGCCAAUCUCUUCCACAUCGUCUAGAUCAAAUCCCCACCAGUGCUAUCAUGGCGUCCUCCUCCGGUGCUUCCCAGCUUGGUCUCAGCGGCCAGGUUACAGAGAAGCUAUCCCGCACCAAUUACAUCCUCUGGCGCACGCAAGUCACGCCGCAGCUCAGAGGCGCGGGCGUCUUCGGCUAUGUCGACGGCGCUACACCGGAGCCGGCCAGGAUCCUCUCCACCAAGGACAAGGAAGGGAAGGAAUCCACCGAGCCAAAUCCUCUCCAUCCCAUCUGGGUGCGCGAGGAUCAGCAGGUGCUUGGAUACCUGCUGAACAACCUCACCAAGGAGGUGCUUGUGCAGGUGACCGCGAUCACCACGUCGCACGAGCUCUGGACGGCACUGUCAGGCAUGUUCUCCUCGCAGUCUCUCAGCCGCGUCAACAACAUCAGAACCUCCCUGGUGAACGCCCAGAAGGGCAACAAGACCGUCACCACCUACUUCGCCGAGAUGCGUGGCCUCGCCGACGAACUCACCGCCGCCGGGAAGCCGCUCUAGGAUGAUGAGCUCGUGUCCUACAUCCUCCACGGCCUCGACAUGGACUAUCAACCCCUCGUCUCUGCCCUUGACGCGCGCAUCACUCUGGUAUCCCUUGAUGAACUCUUCUCCAUGUUAAGCAAUUUCGAUCAAAGGGUUGUGCAGUACCAGGGAUCGGGCGGUUUCAAGUCCUCUGCCAAUGUCGCGGCGCGUGGGCGCGGCGGCUACUCUCGUCACCGUGGUCCUCCUCGCUCCAAAGGCAAGCAAGGAGGUGGCAGCAGCAACGGUGGCGCUAAUUCUCGCAGCGGGCGCCCUGUCUCCACCAACAAUCGGGGCCGCCGCGGCGGGUCCAGCAGGUCUCGCCCUGAUUAUGUACGGUGCCAGAUUUGUGGCAAACCAGGCCACCCAGCAAAGGACUGCUGGUAUCGGUUCGAUGAAGAUGAAGCCUCGUCUGAAGAUGAUGAAAAGGUUGUUGCUGGUGCUGAUGGCUCAUACGGUGUAGAUACCAACUGGUAUCUCGACAGUGGUGCCACAAACCAUCUUACUGGAGAACUUGAGAAGGUGACUCUCAGGGAGAAAUACCAUGGCAAAGACCAGAUUCACACCGCUAGCGGUGCAGGUAUGAGGAUACGUCACAUUGGUCAUUCAGUUAUUACUACCCCGCAUCGUAAAAUUCAUCUUAGAAAAAUUUUGCAUGUCCCUAGUGCAGACAAAAAUCUUCUAUCCGUUCAUAGAAUUACUCUUGACAAUCAUGUCUAUAUUGAGUUUCAUCCUUUCUUCUUUUUGAUUAAGGAUCUGGCCACGAAGAAAACCCUCUAUCGAGGUAGAUGCGUUCGAGGUCUUUAUCCGUUGAUUCCGGAGCUUAGAAGACUCAAUAAACAAGCUUGUGGUGCUAUCAAGCUUUCGUCCACACGAUGGCACGAUCGUCUAGGACAUGCUUCAUUUUCCUUAGUUGAACGUUUGCUUAAAAAAAAUAAGCUCCCGUUUGUUGGUGAGCGCAAUGUUGAGACUAUUUGUAAUUCUUGCCAAAAAGCAAAAAGUCAUCAAUUACCUUAUCCUAUCUCCACCAGUGUUUCUACUCAACCAUUGCAACUAAUCCUUUCUGAUGUAUGGGGUCCAGCCCCUAGCUCUGUUGGUAGAAACACAUACUACGUAAGCUUUAUUGAUGAUUACAGCAAGUUUUCUUGGAUCUAUCUUCUUAAGAAAAGAUCCGACGUGUUUCAAGUUUUUCAAAACUUUCAAGCACUUGUUGAAAGAAAGUUUGAUAGGAAAAUUCUUGCUGUCCAAUCAGAUUGGGGAGGGGAAUACGAAAAAUUAAACUCCUUCCAAAACCUUGGCAUCUCUCAUCACGUGUCUUGUCCUCACGCUCACCAACAAAACGGCUCUGCUGAACGCAAGCAUAGGCACAUCGUUGAAGUUGGCCUUGCCUUGUUAGCUGGUGCCUCCAUGCCACUUAAGUUCUGGGAUGAGGCCUUUCUCACUGCCGUACACAUUAUAAACAUGCUUCCCAGUCGUGUCAUCAACAAUGACACUCCCAUCGAAAGACUUCUCCACACUAAACCAGACUAUUCUUCUCUGCGUGUCUUUGGUUGUGCAUGUUGGCCUAAUUUGCGUCCAUAUAAUAAACGCAAACUCAUGUUUCGCUCAACACAAUGUGUGUUUCUUGGGUAUAGUGCUCAGCAUAAGGGGGUAAAAUGCCUUGAUGUUUCCACAGGACGCGUCUACAUAUCUCGUGACGUCGUAUUCGAUGAGACAAAAUUUCCCUUUGCUGACCUCCAUCCCAACGCCGGUGCUAUGCUUCGCCAAGAAAUUCUUCUGUUGUCACCUCAUCUUGUUGGUCAUGAUCAAGGGGGAACUAAUAACUGUACUGGUCAUAUGUUGACUAACCCUCCUGACCAUAUGCAUGAGCCUUCUACUGCUACAGGAAACCACAGCGACGAAAACAGCUCGGAAAAUAAUGAAGAAAUCCGUUCAACAGCGCCAUAUCACAUGUGUCGUGGUGAAGGGGGCAUAUCCUCCUUGGGAUCCACUCUGGAGCAGAGCAGGCGAUCCACCACGGGAUCUGUGCAGCCGGACUCCUCAGACUCCGUCGCUGUCGCGCCAGGCGGGGCAGGCGCACCCGAAGGCGCCUCUCCAGCGGACACGCGGAAACCUGCGGGUGGCCCAGACAGCGCUGCAGCUGGCUCGGACUGCACGCGCUUUCCUCCCCAACCAGUGGUGUACAAGCGGCGCGGCGCGGUUCGCGCGACAGGCGCGUGCCACGGAGCGGACCCCAGCGGUCCCACGACGCCCGGUCGGCCAGGAUCUUCUGUGGCGCAUGCAUCCUCUGAGCAACAGCCGCAUGCCACAGAAGAUCCGCGCCGCGUCCAGCCAACGCUGGAAUCUGCUGCAACUGCUGGCGCGGGCGAAUCCGCCUCGGGAUCGGGCGCAGCUCUGUCUCCUGGUCAGCCCACAGGAUCUUCUGCGCCACAAACUGAGACAAGGCGUACAAGACUUCAAAAAGGGGUAAUUGCACCUGUUAGUUAUAAACACAUAACCAAGUAUGGCAUGGUUUGUUCUACAGGUGAACCAGGUGAGCCUCAUACACUUGAGGAGGCUCUUGAUGAUGAAAAGUGGAGGAAGGCAAUGCAUGAAGAAUAUGUGGCAUUACAGAAAAACAAAACAUGGCACUUGGUUCCUCCACAACAAGGUAAAAACCUUAUUGACUGCAAGUGGGUCUUCAGGAUCAAAAGAAAAUCUGAUGGAACAAUUGAUCGUUACAAGGCCAGACUAGUUGCAAAAGGUUUCAAACAGCGGUAUGGUAUAGACUAUGAGGACACUUUUAGUCCAGUCGUAAAAGCUGCUACCAUCCAUCUUGUUUUGUCUAUUGCUGUUUCCAGGGGAUGGAGUCUCCGACAGCUAGACGUACAGAACGCGUUUCUUCAUGGUGUUCUGGAAGAGGAGGUAUACAUGAAACAACCACCUGGAUUUGAAAACAAACAUGCACCCUCUUAUGUAUGCAGGCUUGAUAAAGCACUGUAUGGACUAAAGCAAGCUCCAAGGGCAUGGUAUUCCCGUCUUAGCAGAAAGAUGCAAACACUUGGCUUCAUUCCUUUAAAGUCUGACACCUCAUUGUUUAUUUACAAUAAGUUCAACACAUCCAUAUUUGUUCUCAUAUAUGUUGAUGAUAUUAUUGUCACAAGCUCUUCUGAUGAGGCAAUAGCAGGACUUUUGAAGGAUUUAAGUGCUGAAUUUGCUCUUAAGGAUCUUGGAGAUUUGCAUUAUUUUCUAGGGAUUGAGGUAAAAAGGCACAAGGAUGGACUUCAUCUCUCCCAAGAAAAGUAUGCAACCGAUUUGGUAAGAAAGGCUGGCUUGCAAGGCUGUAAACCCACAUCUACUCGUUUAUCUAGUACAGAGAAGUUGUCUCUCACAGAAGGAACACUAUUGAGCCCCGAGGACAGCACCAAAUACAGAAGUCUAGUAGGUGCACUCCAGUACCUGACUCUCACACGACCUGAUAUUUCUUUUGCUAUCAACAAAGUGUGUCAAUUCCUUCAUGCACCAACCUCAGUUCAUUUAACUGCUGCGAAACGCAUAGUUAGAUAUGUGAAGAAUACCUUGAGCAUUGGUCUUAACUUUGGCAGGUCAUCCUCCACCCUUGUUAGUGCUUUUUCUGAUUCAGACUAGGUAGGUUUUCUGGAUGACAGACGAUCAACUGGUGGCUUUGCAGUAUUCUUUGGACCCAAUCUUAUAUCAUGGUGUGCCAAAAAACAAGCCACGGUUUCCAGGUCCAGCACAGAGGCAGAGUACAAGGCACUGGCUAAUGCCACAGCAGAAAUUAUAUGGGUACAGUCUAUGCUCAAGGAACUUGGUGUGAAAAAUACUCAAGCUCCUUGUCUGUGGUGUGAUAAUUUGGGAGCCACCUAUCUCUCAGCAAAUCCAGUCUUCCAUGCAAGAACAAAGCAUAUUGAAAUAGACUUUCACUUUGUCAGAGAAAGAGUUGCUAACAAGCUCUUGGAGAUUCGGUUCAUACAUUCAAAGGAUCAAGUUGCAGACGGCUUUACAAAGGCCUUGCCUAUACGCAACUUUGAGGACUUCAAGCAUAAUCUCAACUUGAUGAAGUUGUGAUUAAGGGAGGAUGUUAAACAUCCAUAACGUACAGGAGCUGCGUAGUACCAGGAGGCUGCGUGGUAUAUUGUUAGGAGGUUUAGAUAUUAGGUAGAAGAUAUCUUAUCUCAUGUAAACUCUAUCUCUAUCUCUACCUAACUUUCUCUCCAAGAUGUAAUCUCUUGUAAUCUCCUGUAACGAACUUGUAUGCGCUAUCAGGGAUGUGCGUCCCUGCUCUAUAAACACGUACGACGUCCCUCCAGAAGAGGUACGACACUUUCGCCUCCGCACACCUCUCACUCCAUCUCUCCAGCGGCGGCCAACGGGUAGGACGGAUAGAGGCCGGUCGGCCGGCGGAUAGUAAGGAUCGAUGGUGGCCGGCCGACGGGAUAGAAGGUGGUGGCAACAGCCAGUAGGAACGAAGGGAGGCGGCCGGCCAUCACACGCAGUGGUGGUGGCAGCUACCAGAGGGAGGGGGGCGUUGUGCCGACGAGCGAGAAGUGGAGCCAAGCGUCGUGUCGGUUGCCUGGUUUCGUGGUGGUAUGAUGCGUGAGUUUGUGUUGUGUGACAACGGGGUGAGUGAGAGGAUGGCGAUGGAGAAUGGAAAACGAUUUUAAUCAGCCGUCUGUAGACAUCCGACGCGCCAGCCACUUUCACGGCUCGCCACAUGCCCACACACAUCUCACCCAUCCACCUCCUUCGUAUUCUCCACCCACCACCGCUUUCUCUCAGCCAUUUGUUCCUUCUUACCUUAUCCUCCUUCUCUUUUCUUCUCCAACACCAAAUUUGUUGUGCAAACGAAGGGGGAGGGGAUGCGAGGUCGCCGAAGUUUGCUACUAUGGGUGGGACGUGGAGUUUCUGCACCCGAGCUCAUUUGAGCUUGGGUGAACAGUAAAAUCGAAAAAAAUUCAAGAAAAUUCCAAAAAAAAAUUGGGAGAAAUAUUGACAAAAGUUUUAAGUGCUUGCAAGAAUUCGUCGUGAAAUCACAUUUCUAGAAGGCGUGGCAAAAAAAAUUUGGUACUCUGAAAAUGCUACUUUCAAAAGCAUUUUGGAGCUUGAAUUUAUUAUUUUUGCCACGCCUUACAGGAAUGUGAUUUCAUGAUGAAUUUUUGCAAGCACUUAGAACUUUUGUCAAUGUUUCUCCCAAAAAAAAUUUGGAAUUCUUUGAAUUUUUUUUGUUUUUUUUUCGAUUUUACUGUUCACCGAGCUCAAAUGAGCUCGGGAGCAUAAAGGCACUUUCGCUAUGGGUGUUGUUGUUGUGAGCCACUAUUGCGAGGUCGCCGGAGUCUCUAUGAUAGACGGUGUUGAUGCGAGCAGCUGCUACAAGGUCGCGGGAGUUGCUACUAGAGCCACGUGCAUUGGUCGACAACUUUUUGCUCGGAGCGGUGCUGCAUUGGUGUUGGGCGGACCAUGGUGCGGGCCAGAGGUGUUGCAAUGAGGACAACAAGAUGGGAAGAAAGAGGCCGGCAAAGAGAAGAUCAGACAGCCAGGUGCUGAGCAUCUAACGGUUAUCAACGCGGGUGUUAUUUGGCCAACAAUAACUUGAUGACGCCUAGCUAGGUCACGAGGGAAAGAGUACUAUGUUAGGGCGGGCCUUCUCUAGAGCAACAAAUUUUUCUAUUCUUUUUCCUAAUUUUGGGUUAUUAGGGUUGUUCCGGUACCGGGACUAUAAACCUGAAUUUUCCUAUAAAUUUCAGGUUUCUAGAUUUCUACCCGAAAAUAUUUCGGGUUUUUCGGGUUUGAGCUUCGGAUAUUGACCUCCGAGUACAGGGUUCUAUGCUAGGGUGAAGUGACACCAUGGCACUAUAAAACGUAAUAAAAACGUUUCAUUCAAGCUAGAAGAUGGACACUUGAAGUUCCCCACUCUCAGUCGUUUCACUGGCUGCCGACCGGAGGGGGGGAUGAACUCAUCGACGGAACCCUUGCUCUUGGAAUCCUAACUGUAGUUGUCACGAUAUUACAAGUUGUGAGUCUUUGUUCUUCUCUCUUUUUUUAUCCCCAACUUUUACUUUGUUCCCUCAUGGCAAAAGAAAAAUCUUCUUCUGGGAGUGUUUUCAUCCCUCCUCCCCGUGAAACCCUAGGGGAUUCAGUGGCAGCUGCGAUCUACCUCCUCCCCGGUGAGAUCACGGCCCCUCCCUCCAUUCGUCGAUCCGUCGAAGGAAGGGGGCAGUGACCCCUGCUGUUUCAGACCUGUGGUAGUAGGUUGAGGUUUUGAGUUUAGGUUUUGGUUCCCAAUCGUCGGUGGCAAGACGAUGGCACCGAUGUCAGCAUGGGAUAACUCCUCCUCGUUGUGUCCUCAUUCUGAUGGUACUUCUUGUCAUCGUUGGGAGGCAUGUGAAGGGUGGUGUGUCCCCAGAUCUGAUUCUCUAGGUUGUGAUUUUUCUUCUACAGGUUUGUCUCAGUGCGCAGUCAUGUGGAGCGGAUGGUACAGUUGUGCGUCUUGCUCCUUAGGCUCCAGUUUCGACAGAUGAAGGUUUGUCGGCUUCGGCUACGUCGAGGAGCAUGUGAGAGUUGUGUUCUCCAACUCCGCCCGACUGAACUUAGGGCGUUAUACAUGCCCUCUCUCGCAUUUUUCUCGAGACAACGAUUUUUUACAUGCGUCGCGGUUGUCAACAUCUUCUAACCCAUAUCGACAACUUGCGUUCGCAACCUUUCCAAACUCCUAGGUCUUAACAAGUUUGCUCGAAUGAGAUGGUGACCUAGAGGCGGCGACGAGUUUUGCUCAGAGUGCGCCACUGGUAGACACAAGAGGAAGAAGACUUGACACUCCAAAGGAUUUGGAUGUAUUAUUUCAUUUCUGUAAGGUGUUUUUGUAAGGGUUUAUGGUACUUUAUUUAUUGCUUUUUGUCUUCUCGCAAGAAAAAAAAACUUCUACCCGUCCAUGUUGCUCUCUUUUUUUGGUCAGUUUUUUUUUUUUUGCGAUACAGUAUAUUAUUGUGCCAAACUGUUUUUUAAGGGAUGGAUAGAUAAGAAAGUUCAUUAACGCCGCCGGAAGGAUCGAGGCGACCUCGCCAUCUCGAAGCUAGUGUUGCGGCCUUGGUCUUCCUCCUUUCCUACGCCUCCUCCAGGUCGUCUAGAUGGCCGCCGGCCAAGCGUCAGCGAUGGCUGCUGGUGUGGCGCCAUCGACAGCAGCGACGGAGUUGGACGACUUCUCCCGCGGAGGCGUGCUGCCCAGCUUCGAGUUCGCGUUCAAUUUGCCCAACUUCUCCGAUAGGGAGCUGCGGAUAGAGAUCGUCUCCGGCUACGAGCUCGGCAGAGGAUCCGCCGCCGACUGUGCACGACACCCCGAGAAAAAGAAAAAAGGUGUGUACAGUAUCCGAGCGUAAAUUUUUGGUUGGUUGCCGCGGAUCGGUGUUGGGCGUAUGAAUUUGUGGAGUAAGAUCUCGCGUUUCUUUUGGAUUUAUUAUGAUUCUUUUCAUGUAACGUAGUUAAUUUACCACGUAUGUGGAAAUCUAAAACCUUAUAUCUGACAGUGACAUUUGUGUGGAUCAUCAUCAGAUUUAUACACACAAAGAAACUGUAGCAGAUUCUAUAUCAUCCAAUGCUCAUACACCCGAUCCGAAUACAACAAAUAUUUGGUAUUUGAUUUGACGCUAUAUGGUGAUAAAAAAAAUCAAGCUCUUACCCCUGCAAAAUUUAUAUAAAAUCAAUCCUUUGGACCUGAGAACAAACACUGGACAGAAAAAGGGCACGGUGGUUUCUUUUGGCGGCGUGGCUCCGAUCCUCUUCUGUAGUCUUAGUGUGUUACCAAAAAGGGUUUCCCCCCGCUUUGUAUUCCAAAGCACCAACACCGAGUACAGAGAUCGCUGUGGCGAGCAGCACAACACACCAAAAGAAAAGGAAGAAGAAACAAAUGUCAGCUACGGCAGCUCGGCAAAGCACGGAUGACCCGCCACCGCGGUGCCCACCGGAAAAAAACCACCACAGACCGAGGUUCCUAACCGCCGCGUACCAAGCAGCACCUCCAAGAAGGAAUGCGACGCCGACGACGCUGCUACCCGGACGAGUCCUAGGGUUUCCCCCGGCACGCGGAGGGAGGUGGGGGGUGAAUACCACCGACACCCUCCAGGAAGGAAUGGUGGCACCCGCAGGUGUCACCGCGUCGGGGCCGAAGCCGGCAGGGAUUUCUCCCGCAUUCCCAGACCCAACCGCCCAACCGGAUGAAACCAACCCGCCAAACCGUCGCCCACCCCCAUGCGCCUACGCAGAAACGCCGCCUCACUACGAACACCACCACAAGGCCAAGAGGACCGGAGAGAAGCGCACCACAACGGGAGCAGCAACACCGACGCCGAGCGGGAGGGAACCACCUCCACCGCCGUCGUGCGGGAGGCCCAUGCCUCCGGCAUCGUCGCGGUAGCCGUCCGAACAUGGCCGCGGGGCAUGCCGGGCCACCCCCGGCCCAGCCAGGCCCGCAGCGGGCCCGUUAAGCCCCGCCGGCCACGAUGCAGCAAGUCGGCGUCGGCGCCGCCAGCACCCAGCCACUCGUCGCGACUCCCCCGCCUCCCAGAAGCCACGCCGGAGACGAUCACCGCCGCCGGCCCGUCCAAGCCCAGAUGGGGCCCGAAGGGCCCCGAUCUGGGCCGAGCGGACGACACCAGAUCGCGCCGCCGCACCGCCCCACCGCCAAUGGCGGCGCCGCCGCCCAGCUGUCCGCCNNNNNNNNNNNNNNNNNNNNNNNNNNNNNNNNNNNNNNNNNNNNNNNNNNNNNNNNNNNNNNNNNNNNNNNNNNNNNNNNNNNNNNNNNNNNNNNNNNNNNNNNNNNNNNNNNNNNNNNNNNNNNNNNNNNNNNNNNNNNNNNNNNNNNNNNNNNNNNNNNNNNNNNNNNNNNNNNNNNNNNNNNNNNNNNNNNNNNNNNNNNNNNNNNNNNNNNNNNNNNNNNNNNNNNNNNNNNNNNNNNNNNNNNNNNNNNNNNNNNNNNNNNNNNNNNNNNNNNNNNNNNNNNNNNNNNNNNNNNNNNNNNNNNNNNNNNNNNNNNNNNNNNNNNNNNNNNNNNNNNNNNNNNNNNNNNNNNNNNNNNNNNNNNNNNNNNNNNNNNNNNNNNNNNNNNNNNNNNNNNNNNNNNNCAGCUGUCCGCCUGCGUCGCGCCACGGAGCCCCGCCGCCACGCCGAGCACCCCCCGGAGCAUCUCCGCCCACGCCGGAGAGCGACCGAGAGGGGAAGGGCAGGGAGGCCGCCGCCACCAGCAGCCCAGGGGCCAGGCCGGCCGCGGGCGCCGACGACGGCGGCGGGAGGGAGGGAGGAAGGGGGUGGCUGGAGGGAGGAGGAGGGACGCGCGGCCGGUCGCCCGCGGGGGGGCGACACGGUCGCGAGAGGACUUCCCUAAGUGGGAUUUUGUGGAGCCCCUCUACCGCUGUAGUGUGUUAGGGGUGGCCUCUCCUAUUUUUCAUGUUUGGCGUUGGCUUAGUGGCACUUGUGCCACUUGCCCGGUGCCUUCUUUUUCGUUCGGACCUGCUUGUAUGAGGGUUUUCUCAUCACUAUGUAUCGGUGCGGCUUUUUGUGCCUUUAUCUAUAAAGAGGACAAAAGCUUGUUUCGAGGAAAAGGAGCACAACCACGUUACUUAAAAUUUUUGGAGCCUCCAUCUCCCACGAAGAGGGUAAAAUCCUGCCUCUCACACGCCAACUGCUCCGGUGGCGUACUUCGCCUUCGUUGUCCUAUGCCCUUCAGCACUGCAACACGGGAAAACGGUACGGCGCACAACAAGCCACUUGAUGAUAAUUGGAUCCGCUCGGUGGCGAGAUUGAACAGACCCGAGCAGUUGUGAGUGUUCUUUGCCUUGGACUCUAUAGUGCAUCUACGGCCGGACUUGACAAAUCCCCACUUCCUAUAUAUGUCCGCGGUCGCGCCUCUGCCGGACAGCCACACUUCUCAAAUUGAAACCCUUAAAUUCAUGCAAAUUCAUACAUGUCUAUAAUACACAUGAAUACAUAGUUUGAAGAUAAAAUUCAUUUUAAGAGCACAAUUUAUUGAUUUUCAUUGUGGGUCCAUAUAUGCUCCACAAGAUCCCAGGUGAGCUUGAAGUAGGGAUUGUGUGCCUCUACUCCCUUCACCACACGCAAGAACAAGAGGUUGUGCAUACAGAAGCAUCGACAAAACCAUUCAUCGGGGAAUGUUGGUACGUGAUCAAUGUAGUCCUUCUAGAGUAGCCGAGCUGCAUAGACUGUACCAAUUUUGAUCGAAUCCUUGAAGUUUAGAAUGUGCUCUACCUCCCGGUCCAUUUCCUGUUGGAUGCUCAUGAUCAUUAUCAUCUCAGUUUCUUUGUCCGAAUCCAAUGAACCGAAGAACUCCUUUUCAAUUAAUUCAUCAAGCUCCAUGGGUCUAUACUCCUCAUCCGGCGAACCAUCUGAAUCCAUUGUAUUGCCUACAAAACAAUCACAAAAAACUAGUCGAACACACAGAGGACAAGAUGCGGUCCGAGAUAAGACGAACGUGCUAGGGCAGCGUAUGGGCCGAUGAUAGUGUCCGUGGCGGCGAGACUAGAGGGGAGUAAUGUUGUGGCGGUGCUGAGGGCUCAGUACGGAGGCGGAGCAAGGGUGGCGGCUGAGCUAGGGGAGGGCCAGCACGGACGAGGGAGUAGAGAGGAGAGAAAAAUGGCUAGUCCAACAGAUCUAGGACAAGGGAUUUGGUGCAAUUUGCAGUUGCUCCUGCCUGUCGGGUCCGACGCGGCGUACGCACUCGGACACGGCUAAGCCUUCACAUAUCCACCCCGUGCCUGUCAGUCGGGAACCUUCUAAUCUACUCGUACUACCAUUUUAUUAUCAAACGUGCUCUUGAUGUAACAGAAGUAUUUGGAGUGGGAGGAAAAAAAAUGUUUCGGGACCUUCAUUUUAGGUCAACACAUUAGUCUGCAUUAUUUUUACCACCUCUUUUUUUUUGUUUUCGUUUUCGUUGAAAGAAAGGUUAUCACCAGUCUGUGCUUGGCAAAAACUUCAUAUAUACAUAAUUAAUGUUGGUACUGCCAAAAUAUUUUGUAUAUACAUGAUAAAUGCUAGUUGCAGGGCUAGUGCUUGCAGAAAAGCAAAGAUGACCACAAGUUUCUAGUUAACAUUUGAGUGCAGUUUUUUGUAGCUGGAGCUACACAGGACCUACUAUCCUAUCCAUUCAUUUUGAAAUACUCUACAUAGAGAUAUGCGCUAUGUGAGCAGACCUUAACAGUAAUUAACAAGACCGAACAGUACAUCUACAGUACAUCUCUGGCGCGCAUGGGACCGACCGCAUGCAUGGUCAGACUCUCUCAAACUCUCUUUCCUCACUCCUCUCUCUCUGGUCUUCCUCGAUUAUGAUGCACAUGCAUACUUUUACUCUUCCUCUCACACACAUAUUCUCUUUCUUACUUCUUUAAAGAAAUCCCUCACGGGCUCUCUCACACACUUCUUUAAAAAACAAGGUUUUUCUCUCACAAGCUCUCUCUUAAAUAUUCUCAGAUAGGCUCUCUCUAGUCUCUCUCUCCUCUCGAUUCUACCAUCUCUCACAGCGUUUCUCUCUUAAACCGGGGAUAUUACGUGCUCUCCACAUAUUUCUCCUCUCUCAUCUCUCUCAGUCCUAUUUUUCCUCUCUCCUCUUCAUUUAGGCCAUCUCUAACAAUUCGGUCUCCACAUAUUUCUCCUCUCUCAUCUCGCUCAGUCCUAUUUUUUCCUCUCUCCUCUUCAUUUAGGCCAUCUCUAACAAUUCUGUCUCGCGUGUCCGGAAGCAGCAUCCUGGAUGGAGCAUGUGCUGCAUGUCGAUCAUUAAAGGCUCACGAGAGGGAGAGUGGACAGUGGCAUGUACAGUGUUAUGUCAUGUCUACAGAAUGUGGUGCAUGUGAGUAUGUGACUGCAUGCAAGCCAUGGCAGACCCUGCAACUGCAGGACGUAAAGCUACUGCUAGUGACCGGCCUGUCCAUAGUAUGGGAUUACUUUACACCCAGCUGCACAGAUCACCAGGUAAAUUGAUGGUCUAGAUAGAGGGUGCCGUGGAGCUCGAGCUAUCUAGCAACUUUCUGUUUCAUGAAUUCUGUAUGAUACUAACAACAUAGGUUUUCUUUAAAAGGAGAAUAGCAUAACACUCUGUUGCAUUUUCUUGUUGGUGAGUGCAGGCAUCUAGGCGAGGAAUCCAGGCUAGAUGCUAGAGACCAUCAAGGACGCAACGACGCAUUGGAGGGGGGCGAGAAGGGUCAACAGUUUCACCAAGUCAUUCCUCGUACAUGAUCCGAAUAGACCAAAACUGAAGCUUCCUCAGAGGAUCAAUUAGUUCCAGGAAAAAUAUACACAUAAUCGUACCAGGGGCCCAAAUGGUGUACAUUAUACUCUUGGUAGGCAUGUGAUGAUGCUCUGAGAAGAGAGAAUUCAGUUUAGUUCAGAUAGAGAAUUAGUAUGUGUAAAAAAAUCAUCUUCUCUUGCUGGUGUUGUUGUCCCAGUUUAGUUGAGAAGAUAUAAGAAUUCAGAGAAAGCAUUUUGUUUGGUGAAUGUACUUCUGAGUCUACAAACUGUCGCAUAUGCACAAAUAUAUGUAAUCUAAAUGCAAUAUUUUCUUGUGACAUGAAUGAAAGCUUUUGAGAACUGAAAGCACUUUGUUGUUGCAACUAUCAUGGUUGCAAAUUAGCAGCAUUUUAUUUACAUUCAACAUCAUUAUUGCAAAUUGGCAAUAGCAGAAUUAAUAAACAAGACAGCACGCCAAUUAUUUGUAUAGUUCCAGCUUUACUUCGGAAGAACACAUUUUUCUAAACACAACAGUAAAUUCACAUAAGAACAAGCCAUGCCCACAUCAGAAAACAGUACAUGCGUCACAUAAUAGGGAACAAGUGCUAGUGGUACCAGUUUUACAUAAUAUAGCAUGAACCAGAGCAUGCACAGUAAACCAUGUACCACAAGUUCAUUUUUAUUUUGCUAUAGCUAGAUAACUAGCAGUUCAAUUAUUGCCAUAUAACAACCAUGGGAAUCCUGAUUGGUUUGGCAUUGCCUGAGAUAUCAACCCAGGUGCUUGUUGAUAAGAAGAUGUUGCAGAUGGAGGUUGAGAUGAUUGUGUCUGUGCUUUCCUUCUAUUCUUUGCUCUCUCAUAGAAAGGUGCAGUGGAAGGACUAUUUUGUGAAGUUGAAACCUUCUUCUUCCUAUCUGUUGGCUUAGAUGCUCUAGAACCUUGCUUUGUUGAUGGACCAGGAGCUGAACUUUGUUGUGUUGAUGGGACAUGAUCUUGCUGUGUUGAAAAACAGUAAGUGUGAGCACAUUUGCACAUGUCAGGAAAAAAAUGCAAGUAAAAGAAGAGAGAAAGGGGGCACCUCUGUACUUGCUUGCUUUGCCUUCCUCCUUGUAGCUCCUCUUGUGAAGUUGUCAUGCUCUUUGUUACCAGCAGUAUUGUUGUUAGUACAUUUUCUUUUGUUGCGCCCCUGGGUUCCACAACUUGAACAAGUGGCCUGCUCGUGACAUUUUUGAUGGAUCCCUAGGUUUCUCUCCUUCUUCCUGCCUUCUCUUUGUCUGGGGCCUCCCUUUCUGAGUUCUUUUCUUAGGUGGAAGAGGUCUAGGUUUUUCAGAAAUUGGCCAAUCUUCUUGUUCUGCUGGUUGUCCCUCUCCUUGUUCUGCCUGCUGAACGGAUAGGUAACCGAGUGGUUUCAUAUCUGUGAAAUAACAACAAAAUACAACAGAGCAUUUAGUAAAUUUUGAUUACUUAGAAUACAUGCAGGUAGGCAUCAACCUGAGUUAUCUCGACUGUUAAUUCCAUCAAGUGUGAAAGAAAACUGCUGAUUGUGGAGCAGCUAUUUCAAUGUGUACUGUAGCUCACCGGCCGGCUAGUUGUUUAAUUAUGAUCACACAAGUACCAUGAAAAGAAUACUAACAUGUCGGUCCAGAUUAAUCAUGGAGCAAAAAUCUUAAACUUGGAAAAUGGCAGUGGCCUGAACGGAGCCAAGUCUAUUCUCUGAAUUUAGAAAACUGCUUAAAAAUCUACAGAACCUAUAUUGUUCAAGUGCCCAGGAGAUAAUCACGGUAUACACAUUAACUAAACAAGCACUACUCCCGUGCAACUGUGGUGCGUUAGUACUAAUCACCGAACAGAUCUCUGACUAUCUAGGUGUGGGCGUGUGACAUCUGAAUUCAGGAAGGGUCGUUGCAGGUGUGCAAGUUUCAAUGCGUAGUCCACAAAGAGAAGGACGCGUGCGCUGGGCAUGGAAGAGCUGAGCGCCUAACCUGGAGUCGUCGCGCCGCUCCUGUCAAGCGGCGAUCAUCAUGUGUUGCCCCGCCGCCGUCUCGUCGAAAGGAAAUAAGGGAGACGACGUCCAAACAAACAGGAGGGGCAGUUAAGUAGGAGACCCACCCACCAAGCCGACGUGGCCAUCCUUUCGAGCCACGCAAGCAAACCACCAGCGGAUACCACUCUAAUCGGGAUUAGGGGGUACUUUGGCUGGUAUUAGAAAUCUCAGGGGAUUAGUUAACCGGUUUAGAAACUGAGGGGGUAGAUUACCCGGUUUCUGAAAUCCCAGGGGGUGAUGUGGACUUCUUUCUAAAACUUUAGAACUCUCGAGUCCCCACAAUCAUGUUCCCUCUUCAACAUAUAAGUAUGUGGGUCAAAGGUCCGAGCUUUGGGCGGCUCUGGUUGUCCGGCGGCGAUUUCGUCGGGAUUGCAUUGCCGGCUCUGUCCCCGUUCCCCUCAAGGGUGGUGCCCACUAGUUGUGGCGUGUUUGGCUCAAGGCUGGCGGUACGGCGCCUUCGAUCCGGCGGUAGGGGAUGGGGUUCCCCUUCCCAGCAUUAGCAACACGGCCCCGGCUGUGGGCUCCCGGUGCUCUUCUUCAAGGGCCGACGGGUCUUGCUCCUCGACGUUCUGCGGUCUUCCUUGCGGUCCUUGCUGCCUUUCUUCAGCAGCUGCUCCCGGUGGCUUUCCGGCAGUCUACUGGUGUCCUUGGUAGCGGCGGUUUAGUGGAUGCUGUGUGCUCAUCGUCCAUGGUGUUGUGUUCUGCGGUUGCUCCUGGCCCCGAGGUUGCCAUCGCUUCUGCUCUAGGGUGAGCGCUUCUCAGGUCCGCUGGUACGACGCCUUUCGAUCCAAGGCGAGAGGGAAGGGUCCCUCUGCGGCGCGAGAGGAGGAAGACGCCUGGUUUCUCUUCAUCCUGGUUCAUGCCCACACUCUGUUCUAGCAGGUCUUCAUCCUGCUGGCGGUCGCUACCUUUGUUAUCAGUUUUGCUGUUGUCUUCGGCUAGUACAAGCAAUGGGCUCGGUUGUAUUCCUUUCGUGCUUGUGUGCUGCGUUGAGUUGUAAGCUUCCUAGAGUGCUCCCUUGUAUCGUUGGGCCGUUGUGGUGUGGCGUUUGUUUGUAUUCCUGGCCGGUUGAUGGCUUUGUUAAUUCAAAGCCGGGCUCUUCGCGAGCCUUCGUUCUAAAAAAACAUAUAAGUAUGUAAGGCUAAUAUUAGUCUGCAUUUUUCGCCUCUGCUAGUCUGUUUUGUGGUAUUAAAACAUUUAAGGUCAUUAUUAGCCUGGUUUAUGUAGUAUACAACCUGUUGCAUAGAGAUAAAUUUGGUACUGGCACAAUAUGCAGUCACAUGGCUGAUCUUCUUAUUAGGGAUUAGUGAUUGCGGCAACGGUGAAACAAUAGAGUGCUAUUAUAAGUUUUGUAUCUGAGAUCUUAUCAUGGAAACGACCAAAUGAAAUUUCUGCUGGGCUAAAUUCAGUAUCAAAUUUAUUCAGAAUGAACAAGUAGCAUACCAUGUAUUCCUGUCCAUACAUCAGACUUUGACACAACAAAUAACAACCCCUUUGACACUUUAAAAGUAGAAUAAAGUCGAUCCAUUGUAACUGAGACUGGCCACUGGACAAUGGAGGCACGCAACCAUGCGAGUCAGAAUAUUUGGAAGCAUGUCAUCCAGUUGACACCUAAAGUUCUACCACUUGUUGUGCUUUGUGGAAUUGUAGGUUUUGAAAUUCUGAUCUUCAUUUUACAAUUCUUCGUCAAGUUUGUCGUGAAGCCUUUUUAAAAGCCAUUGCCUUAGCUCGGCUUUUGACAAAUACUUUUCUGAUGAAUUCUGAUAGGAUCCUUGAGAUAACAUCCAUGAUCACUUUGCUCACUGAGCUACAAGCAUGCUUAGAUUGCUGGCUGCAGCUAAAUGACCGUUCAGUUUUGGUGACCUUAUUUUAACCAUUUGCCAUGGAUCCAUAGAUUGAAUUUAAAUGAAUAUGUACCAUUGAACAGAGUGUUCUAAGUAUUUUAAGUUUUUAACAGAAGAUAAUAUGUCCAAUGGUUUUAAUUAUGUACCUUUUACUUUUCCUAGUUGUGUCAUAUACCAGUUAUCUUGGUAUUUUGCAGCUGAUAAUGGAGAGAGUAUUGACUAUUCCUCAGCCAUGGCAGGUACACAAAUUUUAACAGUGAAGGCCCUUCAUAUCAAUUCAGCGAUUCUUGCUGUAAGAAGUCCUUUCUUUCUAAAGGUAUUUCUUAUGACCAAGGGAAAUGGAUUUGUUGUAAAGACAUUUCAAGUUGCUAAUAAGCUGCAUGUUCCUUAGCUUUUCUCAAACGGCAUGAAAGAAUCUGAUCAGACACAUCCAAGAAUUAGGAUUGCCAAUUCAGGUAAUGUGAUAGCUUUACUGUAACAUUCCUCCUCAUAUUUUAUUCUAGUUUGCUAUUGUGGUUGUGUUACAAUUAAUUUAAAUAAAAGCAUGAUUAUUUGUUAUAUAUAUUGCAUGCACCAUGCACUAGCUUGUCUCUUUUAGUCAUCAGUGUGUGCUUGAUAUAGUAGUACUAGUAUAGAUAUAAAAUUUUCCGUGAUUGGAAAAAAGGGUUAAUCUCCCAUGGAGCUUUACUCAAUAAUUUAAGUUAAUAGUCAACUUAAACGAUUAUUUAGGAUACAAAGUGAUUAUCCUUCGUUUGUUAACUUCUUUAUUGAAUUGUUCUCUUAUGAUUUUUAUGUUUUCAUUCACUUGGCACAGAGGAAAAUGCCCUUAUGGAGCUUCUAAGCUAUAUGUACAGUGGAAAGUUGACAACGAAUGAUCCUACUCUUUUACUCGACAUCUUGAUGGCUGCAGACAAGUUUGAGGUUAUUUCUUGCAUGAGGCGUUGCAGUCAGCUGCUCACAAGCUUGCCUAUGACAACAGAAUCUGCACUGCUCUGCAUAGACCAUCCCUGCUCGACUUCAUUGGCUGCUGAGGUUCAACAUGUGAUUGGUGUUGCCAAGGAAUUCCUUGCCAACAAGUACAAGGAUUUUGAUAAGUUAGUGAUCCCUGUUUAAUGGACCCAUAUUUUAUUUCUUUUUCUGAGAACACUGUAGACAUUGAUGUCAUGAAAUCAUGUAUUUAGUGUACGCAUUGCAUGGUUUGUCUCAUUUCAGAUUCGAAGAUGAACUAAUGUGCAUUUCUCUUGCUGGGAUCGAAGCCAUCUUUUCAAAUACUGACAUACAAGUGGAAGUUGAAGAUUACAUAUAUGUCUUCAUGCUCGAGUGGGCCCGUGCACGAUAUGCAGAACCAGAGGAAAGACGCAAGAUCUUGAGUUCUCGUUUACUUCCGCUGGUUCGGUUCAGUCAUAUGACAUGCAUGACACUUGAGGAGAUCCUAGCAUGCACCGAUGAGGAUAUAGACCAUGAUUAACCAAGCGUAUUACUGAGGUACUUCUGCACAAAGCUUACCCAAGACAGCUGGAAGGUGCCCUUUCUACGCAAACCUGUUGUCAAUUUGCUGAGCGAGCUUACAAGUACAAACCUGUGAAACUGGUUGCUUUUGAUCGACCCCGCCCACAGGUUACAGUUUACCUGGAUCUAGCGCGCGAGGAGUGCUCUCGACUCUUCCCAUCUGGAACUAUUCGCUCGCACUACUUCUGGCUUGCAGGCUGGGUAUUUAUGUUAAUGCAUUCUGUAAAAUGGACGAGCAGAGUAUUUGCACUUUUGGCCUCUCCUUGAGAGCCUGUGAGAUUCCCAAGGGCUCAACAGAUAUGACAGUAGAUAUGGAGCUUGCUGCAAGGCAUGGAUCGUCAGGAAAAUUUGUAAGCGAGUUGGAAGAUAAGGUUACCUUCGAUUCGUUAGAUCAGUUAUAUGGAUGCAAUGAUCUUUUUGACAUGCCAUGGUCGAUGUUCAUUGCUGACGACAACCUCUUCAUCGAUGGAGUGCUGCAUCUGAGAGCUGAUUUGAGGGUGGCGGUGGGGCAGCCGGAAUUACAAUCUUGACAAUAUCUCACUCAGCAAAUUUAGGUAGAUCGGCUCAAUGUAAUUUCAGUUGGUGUGGCAUGUUGGCAGCAUGGUUCAAUGCUAUUUUUGUGUCUGAAACUUUAGGUGGCAUGUUGGCAGUGUGGUUCAGUCGUGGCCGCAUUUCAUUAUUUUGGUGGAAAACUAGGCUUGCCUGAAUGAUGUAAGGAGGCUCUAACUUGCAGUGAGAAGGUGGAAAACUCUGGCGAUUUGUCGGCACAUUUGAUCCGACUUUUUCUCUAAUCUGUUCAAAAUGUGAGGGUCCAUCUUUUUUGUUUUAGAUUCACCAUAAUUUUCUUCUCGACAGGCGUGAUGUUUCAGCUUGUUUUUUAUUGUUCUGGAUUAGAUUCGCCAUCACCAGCUCGGUUUGACGACGAAUCUGAUUGUCCAUGGAAGCCUAGCGUGAGAUGCAGCAAUAGUAUUGGCCAGUGAAGCUUCCUGGGAUUGUGCACUGAUACGUUUCUGUAUGUCCUGAUGAAUGAAGUUGUGCUUGUUUCAAACUGACAGGCAACUAUCUGGAAGUUGUGCCUGAUGAAUGAUGGCCGGGCAGGGGACACUCUCCUUGCUGGAGCCGGUCUGGCUCUUGUCUUCGCUCAUGGCGUCGUAGUACCUAGUCUAGCCAAACCUUGAAGCAGUGCCUGUUGUGUUCCCUCGCUAUGAUGCUCUGAAGAAACUGUUGACUUAAAAAACAAGAACAUCCCAACCCUAUUUAUUUUGCAAAGUCUUAGUUCAGAAAGAAAAAUGGAAGGAACACAUCAUCGAUAUUGUAGCUUCAACCAAGACAUAACAGGAUUGCAUUGUGCAAGUUUAUCCUCGUAGUUCAAGUUUGAACAUUCAACUCAAGUCCAAAUCAACUUUGCUGAGUAAGAUGGAUCGUAGUUUAUAGGUUUUCUAAAAAAGACACCUACUACUUUGUUAGGUGUAGCUCUAGAUAUUUGGGUUUUCUAUUCAUGAUUAGUAUUUUAUGGUGGUACCAUGUCACGUAGUACAAUGGGGACUGUCUAUAGGUAAAACUGCCUCCACAAAACUGCUUAGCAACAGUCUGACAAGUGGGUUUAUCGUAGACCUCUUUCUGAUGUUUUUUUUUUGUGUAAUUCCAAAUGUGUGUCAGUACUUUUUUGAACAUGUUCUUAAGUUUAUUCGAGACUUGAAGCACGACUCAGAUUUGUUAUGAAGAAGUGUGGUAUUUCGAAUUGUUUAGUUGUGGGAAAAUAAAAAUGUGGUCUUAAGGCGAUUUAGUUCGUAUUCCAGUCACUUUUUAUGUCCUUAAUUCAUACCUACCCGACUAAGAUUGCAUAUCCAGAAACAAUCACCGUGGGAGGAGCCCAGCCUCCUCAGAAUUUAGCGAUUCCUGGCCACCAGAUCUGUUUCUUGAUGCGUUUUCGACCGUUCGACCGUGAGAUGGAGAGAUAUCGGCCAUUGGAUCGAGGCAUGCUACUAUAGAUCAAAGCAGUGCACCCUCCAGUAGAAAUAUCGCAUGCCACCGCCUACGAAUUUGGUGCCCCCACGAGGGCAAUAUUAGGCUUUCGCGUCUGUCUUGUUGCCUCCGGUCCUCACUCCAUCCUUUCUCUUCCUCCUCUUUACACAUCAACCCCAACACCAGGGCCCACCUACACGGAUGGUGCUGCACUCCGCUUCUUGGAGCUGAUUGUGAUUGAAAGCCUCACCAUCAGUGUGUGGUGGGCCCCACCCACACACCCGGGAGACCUUGACUUGGACCAUGUACUUGAUUGUCUCUAGACUGCGAUCAACCACAUGCGUUGUCGAAGGAGACUUCCAGAUCCUCCAACCUUCGUCAUAAGCCAUAUUUUAGACCAACAUUUGCACACAAAGAAGCAAUCUUCCAGCAAACAUAGAUGUAGUCCUAUGGGCGGCACACACAAUCCGACCUUUUUGGCAUAGUCCAUCCCCGGCUUCACAAUGGCGAGGAAGCAUGCACAAUUAUGGCGGGGCAAAGCUAGACGACAAAAUUCCAAGGCAAGGUCAUCGCCACCUCCUGAAACACUAGUUUUGUCAAAAUGACCUCCCAAUUGAUGAGGAGAUCUUCGUUGGCCCCUCGACUCUAUGGUAGAUGGCCUCCCCAAGAAGGGGAAGUAGAUACUACAGGCCUACUGUAUAUAUAAUUCUACACAAUGCCACCUCUUGAAUGCCUUACUUGAGGAAUUUUGUUCUCUCUCCUACCAAACAGAUUGAAGAGAGGGGACCCACAUGCUCACAUCCGUUCGAUGGUGGAAGUUGUUGGCCUAUGCUUGCGAGAAAGAAGUCAUAGGUGGGGCCGAAGAUUCUAAACCUACCAGGACGAAGUGGGACCCUGCUGUAUUGGUAGCACCACAAGCCAUAAAACACGAUAUGCUUGUAUAGAAAAUAGAUAAUAAGUUGAACUAAAAAAACAAGUUAUCAAUUUGCUUGGCACUUUUUGUCUUUGAUUGAAGAGGAAAAAAAAGUUGCUCGUACUGUAUAUAGCAGCACUGUUACAAUCAGGCUUUGAAUCAAAUUGAGAGAGACUUCCAAAAGUUAAACUACUCUAAUUAGAUACCGCCGACCUCGUCUUCUCGAAGAAAGAAGCUUCGGCAGCUAGGUUACGACCGGCCACCGUCCCGUGCUCCUCUCCCAUACGUACGUGGCAGAGGGCAUGGACGCUGAGGAAGAGUCAGCGAUGGCGGCGGUGGCGGCAGCAGAGCUGGGGCUGGACUUCUCGCGCGGCGGCGUGGUGCCCAGUUUCGAGUUUGCGUUCAAUUCGGCACACUUCUCCGACAGGGAGCUGCGGUUAGAGAUCGUCGCCGGCGCUUCGGAUUCCGGCGGAGGAUCCAUUGCCGACGUCGAGCACCACCACGAGGAGAAAGGUGCGUACAGUGCCUGAUGUAGCUGCUAUUUUCUACUACCUGUUGUCCUUUGUAAGUUUCAGACACUUAAUCUUCUUGUCAAAAUUCGUGGUCAAGUUUGUCACAAAGCCUUUGGAAAAAGGCACUGCUUAGUUACUCCCUCUGUCCGGAAAUACUUGUCAUCAAAAUGGAUAAAAAGGAAUGUAUCUGUAUGUAGAUACAUUUCUUUUUGUCCAUUUUGAUGACAAGUAUUUUCGGACGGAGGGAGUACAUUUUUGACAAUUGUUUAUUUGUGGAAGAAUUUAGAUAUGCCGAAUUAAGCUUGUUUUGACUUUUGAGUUUUGAGAGAGUUCGCAUUGAGGCAUGUGUCAGAUGAUAUAUAUAGGAAGACCAUAUUAUUAUGUUGUUCACCCAUAGAGUUUUACUUCUCCCAGUUCGUUCUUUAUUAAUUUCUUCUAUCUUUGGUAUUUUGCAGGUGAUAAAGGACAGAGCAUUGACUCUUCCUUGAUGAUGGUGGAUCAACCAGUUUUACAAGAAAAAACCUUUUAUAUCAAUUCAGCAAUUCUUGCUUCAAGAAGUUCUUUCUUUCUGAAGGUAAUUCUGAUGACCUCGUGUACUACAUUUGUUGAUUUCUUCUCGUGAUGUGAAGUUUAUAAUAAGUUCCACGCUUCUUAUAGCUUUUCUCAAAUGGCAUGAAAGAAUCUGCUCAGACGCAUUCGACAAUUAGGAUCGCUGAUUCAGGUAAUGCGAUAGCUAAACUGCAACAUUCUUUCUCUUAUAGUUUAUUCUAAUUUGUUACUGUGGGUGGCUGUGUUACUAUUUUCUAUUUAAAAUCAGAAUAGCAUGAAUAUUUAUAGUGAACUAAAGAUUAUGUUUCAUAGUUUCUGCCAAUUUUGUUUUUUCAGUGAUAAAAUGAAUAUUUAGGGUAAAUGAAAGUUUAUGUUUCAUGGUUUUUGCCACCUUUGCAUUUUCAGUGAUAAAGAGAAGGUUAGUCUGCCACGGAUCUUUUCUCAAUAUUGAAAGACAACAUUCAACUUAAAUAAUCAUUUAGGAUACACAAGUCAUUGUUUUCUUUUAUUUCUCUAUUAUUCGGUCUUUAUGCAUUUUUGUUUUCAUUCUACUUGGAACAGAGGAAAAUGCCCUUAUGGAGCUUUUAAGGUAUAUGUACGGCAGGAAGUUGACUGCAACUGAGCCCACUCUCCUGCUCGACAUCUUGAUGGUUGCGGAUAAGUUUGGGGUUCUUUAAUGCAUGAGGCAUUGUAGUCGUUUGCUCACAAGCUUGCCUAUGUCGACCACAGAAUCUGCACUGCUCUACAUAGACCAUCCUUGCUCGGCUUCAUUGGCCUCUGAGGUCCAGCGUGUGAUACGUGUAGCCAAGGAAUUUCUUGCCAACAAAUACAUCGAUUUUGAAAAGUUAGUGAUCCCCAUCUGACGGAGCCAUGUUUUAUUUCCUUUUCUGAGAAAACGGAGGUCUGGAUUAAGUGGCACUCAUGGCAUGGCUUGUCUCUUUUCAGGUUCGUGCUUGAAAUGAUGGAUUUCCCUCUUGUUGGGAUUGAAGCCAUAUUUUCAAGUAUGGGCCUACAAGUACUAACUGAAGGUAAAAUAUAUACCUUUAUGCUCACGUGGGCCCGUGCACGAUACCCAGCAUUGGAUGAAAGACGCGAGAUCUUGACUUGUCGUUUACUUCCGCUGGUACACUUCAAUCAUAUGACACGUGCGGCACUUCAGGAUAUCCUAGCACGCACCGAUGAUGAUAUAGACCAUGAGCAAGUAACUGAGUCGUAUUACUGAGGUACUUCUACGCAAAGCCCACCCAACACAGAUGGAAGGUGCUCUAAAAUCCUGUGGGCAAUUCGCUGAGCGGGGUUACCAUUUCAAACCUGUGGAAUUGGCUGUUCUUCAUCCAUGCAGACCGGAGUUUGCGGUUUAUUUGGAUCUAACGUUCGAGGAGUGCUCCCGACUCUUCCCUUCUGGAGAUAUAUUCUCGCAUCCAUUCCAACUCGAAGGUUGGGAGUUAUAUCUCAUGGCAACAUGUACAAUUGAUGAGCAGAGUAAGUUGUACAGCUUUGGCCUCUGGUUAGUAGUCACCAGGAAUCUGAAGGGCUCAAAAUAUCUGAGAGUACGUUAUAGGAUUGAUGCAAGGACUAGAUCGUCAGGAAAAUUUGAGAGAGCUUUCAACGAUCAGAAUACCUUCACCGGUGAUGGGAUAACGGGAUGCUCUGAUCUUUUUGACAUUCCAUGGUCAACAUUCCUUGCCGACGAUAACCUCUUCAUCGAUGGUGUGUUGCAUCUGAAAGUUUAUUUUCUAUAGCUGUACAACUAGAUUAGUUGACGGGAUUCACAUUGUAAUCUUAUUAAUUCACAACUAGAAUUUUCUUUUCUGUAUAUGUCUGUGUUCGGACUUGCAAUUGAACUUUAUCACAAAAUUAAUAUGUACUCACCCCAACUCUAAAAAUAAGGCGUAGUUUGACUGUCUAAAUUUUGACUACUCAUUCUCUUUGCACGCUGAAAGGUUAGAAUUAGUAAUAACAUGAUAGAUUUUUUCAUCAAGAUAAGCAUAUUUUAAUGUAUGAGGGAGUUUCUUUAAUUCAAAUACAUAAUCACCCUUAGGUGGAGGAGGAUCUCCCAAAAUUUUAACAUGCAAAUUAUGCUUAAGAAUAGGUUCUUGCCAAAAGAAUAUUUCAUCUAUUUCAAUUCUUUCAUCCAUAUGCACAUCAUUUUCAUGAUCUAACAAAUAUUGCUCUAAAAGAUUGGUAUGAGGCACAACAAUAGAAGCAAGACCAACAAUUACAUCCUCAUUGGGAAAAUCUUUAUCAUGGUGUUGUUUGGAGAACUUAGAAAAAAAUAAAGUCAUCAGAUUCUUCACCAAACUUAACUAUGUGCGUAGUUCAAGUUUUCAUCCAAUUCACCAAGGAAUAUUUUGGUUGCUUUUGUCGGAUUGCUUACUACUAGGUUGGAUCCGAUGUCAACCUAUGGAGGCACCAUUUGUUACUAUUGGAUAAAUUCCUUCUGUCUUUUUCUUCUUGUUCUUUGCCAUAACGCCCAUUUAGGGACGAGUUGGAACAUGAAUUCCAAAAUGUUACACUGAUGGGACUUAUCGCACCGGAUCUUUGAAGGACAAGACUCAUCACACCUGAUUAGUGAUCAAUUCUACCAUAAUGAAUAUAUGAGUUAUUUUACACAAUGAAUUUACAAGAAGAUUAACUUUUUUAGCAUAGUCAACUUCAGCAUUAACGGUAUUCAAAAAUGGUCUACCAAAUAUAACGGGACAAAAAUUAUCUUGUUCAGAUCCAAGUUUUAGGAAAUCGGUAGGGUAUUUGAUCUUACCACAUAAGACUUUAACAUCUCUUAUGAUCCCAAGAGGUGAAAUGAUAUCCCUAUUUCCAAGCUUAAUAGUAACAUCAAUCUCUUCUUUCUCAACAUGUGAUAUAUCAUGCAUAACUUCUUGAUAGAGAUAGAAAGGAAUAACACUUAUACUAGCAACAAUAUCACAUAAACCAUGAUAACAAUCACUACAAUAAAUAUGUCAACUAGUGACCUUCUGUCAGUAACCCUGGAAGAAUUGGUCAUAGAUCUAUGACCAUUUGAGACCAAUUGGUCAAAAGCUGUUCGGGGGGCUCCAAACCCUAAACCAUUGCGACCAUUUUGGUCAGAAAGGUCGUAAUUUCCUUAUACGAAAUGGUCACAGAGCAAAUAGUGCAGGUCCGCUGCCUUAUUUCUAGUUGUUAACGACCAAUAUAGAUGGUCAUAGCCUUGUAGAUUGUGGUGGGUUGUGAUGACUAGGCGCCACCUCAUCAGUUUUGCCUAUGUGUCAUGUCCAUGUGGCAGUUUUUGCCCUAGGUUGUGAAGCAACCUAUAUUUCUGUCAUUCCCAAAAUUCCCAAAAAAAUCUCAUAAAUUCUUUGGGUCAUAUCUUCGUCAAAUAUGUAAAAAUCUUCCUUGACUAGUUCAAAAAUCAUUAAAAAAUAUUCAUUUUCCUAUUCUGUUCAAAACAACAGUUGUGAAGGAAGUACCACUUUGGCAUGUCCAAAUAGUAUCCAUUUUCUACAGUGCUUUCCUAUGCCCAAAUAACCAUCCUCCACCAAAUGCCAACUCAAUCCAUUCAUUAUUUUGAGCCGAGCUUCAACAUUCGUAUUUAUGUCCAGUGUGGUAGUUUGCAAAGCAAGUACCACCUAGGCUCCUCCUUUUGAGGUGAAAAUUUGUGAAGACGGUCUUCUUAGUAACUGAUCAUCCUCAGCCAAAACUCACGCCCAUUAGCCAUGUACAUUUCCCGUACCGCUAAUCAAAUACUUGGCUGCUAAUUCAUGUUUGAGCAUCGAUCGAUCUCCUCGUGAGAAUCUUAUGUUCUGAUUUUCUUCCUAGCACCUACCUGGUGAGUGCCCAACCCACUAGACAUGCCUAGGCCGCCCAGAACACAUGGCAACGCCACGGUCACGCGGUGACCACGCGGCGGGCAUGCGAGCUUACGCGCUCUAGAGUUGGGGCCCUCGGCCACCGUCCAAACCUCGAUGUCUCGCCAUCAAACCAUGUAUUUUUGAUUAAAUAGAUACUUAUUUACCUAGAAAUUAUUUUUGGAAAAAAUAAAGAGCAAACUAUGAGGCAGCUGCAGUUCAAAUUUGACCCGCUUCCAUCUGAAUCGACGGCAAUUUGUCUUUUUCACCAGAGGUGGAUCAAAACUUUUUUCACCCAACAAUUUUGUCAAUUGUGCAUUAUAUAUGGCCUAGUAUUUUAUAAAAUUGAUUUGGUCCGUUUUUGCAACAAUUAUUUGGUAGUUCCUUCACAAAAAAACCUCCUUUUGGGCACUCGGAAAAUGAAAAAUGAAUUUUCCGUGCAGAGAAAAUGAAAACUUCCUUAGGCAACAUUGUUUGGAAUUCCAAGAUGGACCCUUAUGCACAAUAUGAGAUCAUUUGAACAAACUAUGCCAUGAAUGUGGCCAUAAGAUUGAUCAUUUGGCUUGAAAGCCAUGAAUCCUCACGCAUGAUAGCUCAUUUCUAAGAACACUUUUUUAAAAUAAUUAUCGUAUUACAAGUUUAUUAUUUUUCCUAGAAACUUGGUCACAUAUAAUGACACAAUGCGAAGGUUUUCCAAUUUUUUGUUUUUUUUAUGCCCGUUUCAAAAUGCGGUCAAAACGGCGGGCUUGACCGUUCCUAGCUAGUGGUUGAAUCUUGGAAUUUUUUUGGUGUUUCUAUGAUUAAAUAGAUACUUAUUUACCUAGAAAUGAUUUUUGGAAAAAAUAAAGAGCAAACUAUGAGGCAGCUGCAGUUCAAAUUUGACCCGCUUCCAACUGAAUCGAUGGCAAUUUGUCUUUUUCACCAGAGGUGGAUCAAAACUUUUUUCACCCAACCAUUUUUUCAGUUGUGCAUUAUAUAUGUCCUAGUAUUUUAUAAAAUUGAUUUGGUCCAUUUUUGCUACAAUUAUUUGGUAGUUCCUUCACAAAAAAACCUCCUUUUGGGCACUCGGAAAAUGAAAAAUGAAAUUUCCGUGCAAAGAAAAUGAAAACUUCCUUAGGCAACAUUUUUUGGAAUUCCAAGAUGUACCCUUGUGCACAAUAUGAGAUCAUUUGAACAAACUAUGUCAUGAAUGUGGCCAUAAGAUUGAUCAUUUGGCUUGAAAGCCAUGAAUCUUCACGCAUGAUAGCUCAUUUCUGAGAACACUUUUUUAAAAUAAUUACCGUAUUACAAGUUUAUUAUUUUUCCUGGAAACUUGGUCACAUAUAAUGACACAAUGCGAAGGUUUCCCAAUUUUUUGAUUUUUUUUGAAUUUUUUAUGCCCGUUUCAAAAUGCGGUCAAAACGUCGGGCUUGACCGUUCCUAGCUAGUGGUUGAAUCUUGGAAUUUUUUUUGGUGUUUCUCUGAUUAAAUAGAUACUUAUGUACCUAGAAAUGAUUUUUGGAAAAAAAAUAGCAAACUACGAGGCAGCUGUAGUUCAAAUUUGACCCGCGUCCAACUGAAUCGAUGGGAAUUUAUCUUUUUCACCAGAGGUGGAUAAAUUUUUUUGACACCCAACCAUUUUGUCAAUUGUGCAUUAAAUAUGCCCUAGUAUUUUAUAAAAUUUAUUAGGUCCAAUUUUGCAACAAAUAUAUGGUAGGUCCUUCACAAAAAAAACUCAUUUCGGGCACUCGGAAAAUGGAAAAUGAAUUUUCCGUGCAAAGAAAAUGAAAACUCCCUUAGGAAACAUUGUUUGGAAUUCCAAGAUGCACCCUUAUGCACAAUAUUAGAUCAUUUGAACAAACUAUGCCAUGAAUGUGGUCAUAAGAUUGAUCACUUGGCUUGAAAGCCAUGAAUCUUCACACUUGAUAGCUCAUUUCUAAGAACAUUUUUUUAAAAUAAUCAUCGUAUUACUAGUUUAUUAUUUUUUCUGGAAACUUGGUCACAUAUAAUGACACAAUGCGAAGGUUUUCCAAUUUUUUGAUUUUUUUUGAAUUUUUUAUGCCCGUUUCAAAAUGUGGUCAAAACAGCGGGCUUGACCGUUCCUAUCUAGUGGUUGAAUCUUGGAAUUUUUUUGUAUUUCUCUAAUUAAAUAGAUACUUAUUUACCUAGAAAUGAUUUUUGGAAAAAAUAAAGAGCAAACUACGAGGUAGCUGCAGUUCAAAUUUGACCCGCUUCCAACUAAAUCGACGGGAAUUUGUCUUUUUCACCAGAGGUGGGUCAAAAAUUUUGACACCCAACCAUUUUGUCAAUUGUGCAUUAAAUAUGCCCUAGUAUUUUAUAAAAUUGAUUAGGUCCAAUUUUGCAACAAAUAUAUGGUAGGUCCUUCACAAAAAAACUCAUUUCGGGCACUCGGAAAAUGGAAAAUGAAAUUUCGAUAGUUAGGCAUUGAAUCUUACAAACAUUUCAGAGUAUCUCUAAUGAAAUAUAUACUUUAGUAUCUAUAAAUUAUUUUUAGAAAAAUUAAAUAGGUACUUUAGUACCUAUUAAUGUGAAAAAAGUAGAAGAAAACAAAAAUGUAAACACAAUUUGUUUUACUUUAUUCUCAUUGGUGGAACUAGGUCUCACCCGGAUCGAUGAUGUGGCGGCCAUCCAUCCAUCCAUCCAACCCCUUGCCCUAAAAAAAUCUACCCAUCCCCUGCCCUCGUCUCCCACCCACCCACCACCCCGACCCCUUCCCUCCCCUCGCAUCGCGCCGCCACCCAUCUAGCCAUCCUGCCCUCCUGCAUCACGCUGCCAUCCACAUCCAUCCCCUGGCCACUCUCCCCCGUACCGAGCACUUGACGGCAUCGGCCCGGCCCCCAACACUACAAGAAAUAUGUCAACUUGUGACCACCACUAUUGGUCACUGAAAGGUCACUGUUUUCAAUUUGUGACCUUUUUGUGACCAAAAACAUAAGGUCAAAAGCUGAGGGUCGUUAACUGACUAUAGCGACCUUUUUUGUGAGAAGGUCGUGGACGUUUACGACCAAAAUAUUCCUACUAUGGCGUUUUGGUCACUAGCAACCUCCCCAGGCCACGUAGGCAUCCAGCGUGGCAAGCUGAUGUGGCACAAGAUUCAACCCGGUCCAAUUCGGUGUUUAUAUGGGCCAAGCCCAUUAAUUCAGCCCAUUUAUAUUUUUUUUCUAUGAAUUUUUUGUCAGCUUCAUGGACCAAGCCCAACAUUGCAGCCUUUUUAUUUUUGGCCCAUGGCCUACAUUGCAGCCUUUUUAUUUUUGGCCCAUGGCCUUUUUGUCUCAACAGUUUCAUUUUUUCUUUUUUGUUAGGGUCACAUUCUUCAUUUCCCAAUUUAACGUAAAUAAAUACACAGUAUUUAAAUUGGCACAGAAAACACACAAAAUACUUCAAAUAUUACCAGCCAGUGUUGCUGCUGUACAAAUAUUACCAGUCAAUACAGAGUUGCUGUUGUACAAAUAUUACCAGUCAAUACAGUGUUGCUACCUAAUAUUCCCAUGUUGGGUAGUAUUAAAAAACGCUGGUAGGCUUUGGGCCUUGGCCCAUCACCCGCUCCAGACACCCUCCAGACCGCUCGCCUCGCACAUCCCACUUUGCUCGCUCGCCUCUCCAGGUCGCCCUCAACAGCAGCUCCAGAUCGCCCUCGGCAGUAGCUGCAGGUCACUCCAGAUUGCCCUCAACAGCAAGCCAGCAACUCGCCUGCCGGAUGAAGAGCCUCUUCUCUGAGCAAGGCCAGCUGCUCCUCCACGCCUCCGAUUUAUCCUAUGCCUCUGAGCUCGCACCUUCAGAACUCGCGGCAACGACUCUGCUUCCCUCUCCUUGUCCGCGCCAGUGAUGGAUGCCUUAUUUUCUUCCUCCUCCGCCUUCGGAUCAAGUGUUGCGCCAUCUUCUUCCUCCUCUUGCCUCCGGAUCUUCAAUUGCAGCUCCAUCUUCCUCCUCAGCCUCCGGAUCAGCAGUAGGUACUCCUGCACAAGAUAUACAUCCAGUUUGUAAAGAGAGCAUCUUGCAAAAAAAAGGUUUGUAAAGAGAGCUUGAUCAAUUAAAACUGUAGCGUAAACUGGAGUAAGAAUUCAAAUUGAAUAAAAUAGGCUUGUGCCAUGUGGGAAUAGAAAACAUGGAAGAAUUGCAUUGAGAAUGUCAGGACGAGAGAGGAGUACCCAAACUAGCAUUACUCAAACAUAUACUCCACAAUCAACUUGAGAGUUCACCAAAUGCCAGGUUGGACCACAUUAGCAAAGCAUGCUCCACAAUCAACUUUAGACAAUAAACAAUAGGAGUUAGAAGCAGAAUAAAAACAAACAUACAAAGCAGCUAGGGACUGAAUCAUGAAGCAUAUGUAAAUGUAACAGUAACAACCACAAGGACAACGCAACACAAGAGAAGAAAGCACAGUUGUAGCAUUAAUACCAACAUGGACAGAAUGGUUCUAGAUGUUGAACGCAAAAAAUGAUUCAUUCUCAGAUGGUUCAUUAAGCAUGCCAAAAUGACUUAAGAUAAGAGGACAAAUCUAUUGCUAGAUGCUACUCAGAAUAAGAAAUAAAAAUUAGAUUAAUGCAAUGAGACUAAGGAUAGGAUAAAUGGUUUAUCAAAACUUAUUUUCAACAUAAUCAUCCUCAUAUAGUUAAGUAUCACAAAGAGACAUCUAUAAAGCAAUACCAAGCAAAUUAUGCAUUCAAACAGAUUAUUAUUAGGAUUUAGGAGUGCUAAUACAGGAGCUAGAAGACAAAUUUGUGAGUGGAUUUUAGUAAUCAAAGAUGAGACAUAAUACAAGUUUGAUAUCAGUAGUAGGCACUACUCUCUAUACAGG
RNAcentral lists this long non-coding RNA (46163 nucleotides) under Triticum aestivum (bread wheat). Its description in RNAcentral is "long non-coding RNA (TAES_LNC008126)". The stretch from base 37126 to 37249 matches the Rfam family "MIR1120/MIR1122 microRNA precursor family". Lineage: Eukaryota; Viridiplantae; Streptophyta; Magnoliopsida; Poales; Poaceae. The record is from RNAcentral.